RNAcentral lists this long non-coding RNA (56946 nucleotides) under Aquilegia coerulea. RNAcentral describes it as "long non-coding RNA (ACOE_LNC001163)". Lineage: Eukaryota; Viridiplantae; Streptophyta; Magnoliopsida; Ranunculales; Ranunculaceae. The record is from RNAcentral.
CUCUUUUAUAAGGUUUUGAAGAUACUUCCCAUCAUAUUUUGGUCCCAUUAAAGAUUUGAAGAAACUUUUUAUCGUGGAAAGCAAACCACUGGAAAAUUUGGAAAAGAAUCAUUAAUUUGUCAUCUGAAUCGUCCUGAACUUUACUAGCCAACAUGACACAAUAAUGAGAAUUGUAUGUGAAGAGGUACUCUUUACCAGAAAAUGAAAUUUAGACCACAGCACAUAUUAGCACUAUCUUGUGGAAAUAUCUUCGGGCAGUUGUCAAGGUAGAAUUGAUUGAUAUCUUUAGCUGCAUAGACAGGACGCUUGCUUUCGUUUGGUGCAGUUAACAUAGCUGUCACUAGUCCCCCGGUGCUUGUUCCUGCUACUACGUCAAAGUAAUCUGCAAGUCUUACAUCAUCCCCAUCCAACAACUACAUACCCCAACACCAAAAUACAAUCCUUAAAAUCAGAAUAAGAUACCUAAAAUAUGUGUAGAAUUAGGCAUGCAAAUAGAGGAUCUACUUUAUCGGAAAAAAAAAGUAGAGGAUCUAAGGAGAGAACCAUCUGUGAAACUGAGUGUUGCACAGAAUGGGAGCAAAACCAUGAUCCUAAAUAUCUUGGUAAAUUAAGGUAGUCAAAAGUGAUCGAUCAAGAUCGAGGCUUUUUCUUUGCCUUGGUAUAGAUGGCUUCACAACCAAAACCCAUAUCAAACUAUGCGAUUCUGCAAAUACAUUUAAACUUUGAAGUUUUGAAUGACAGCAGAGAUCUUGUUGGUGGAACCAACUAAAUAAGAAGAAUAUGUUGCUUAAUCUUAACAAGGAAAGCUUUACUCCUAUUUACAGGUAACCAAGCCGUACCCAGAGGGCAAAACUUAAUUACAAUCUUGUUUGUCUGGAAAUCUACAAACAGCUUGUCUUUAUAGGGGAAAACACAUUGGUGCUUCUCUAGUUCUCUUUGAAGGAUAGCUCCUUAGCUCCUCAAAAUAUCUCUGGCAAAACAUAAUACAUUUUCUUCCCUGCAUUUUAGAUAUAGUAGGUUUGCAUGCGUGUGAUGUGUGUGAAUAUCAUGAAUACUGUACCUGGAGUUCUGAUUCCAAGAACGCGAGAAUAGUUCCUGGAAUGAUCCCUUUUAUCCCACCCCCGUCAAUACUAAGAACUGUAACUAAAUUUCCAUAAAUUGGGGGUUCUAAAGCGAGGGAUGAAUAGUUUGUCUCCAUGAGUAUGCUACUGAUUCGAUGAAGUUAAAUUAUUGGAUAAGAAAGGAUACUAACAAUAUAUUGUAAAGUACAGAUAAAUGAAGUUCUGAAGCUCAUAUUAUCUUAGUUGCUAAUGUGCUUGUAGGAGGUAUUAUAUAGCAUCUUGAAGCUUAGUAGGGAACCUUCGUUCUUCUUCUUCGAGAGAAUUUACUUUGAGGUGCCUUACCAAUUUUGACAUUUCAGAUGCGUUAUAGAAGUCAAACUACAAAUCACAAAUUUGCCUUUUCUCUCUUAUAUAUGCUUCUUAUUUUUAAUAUUAGAUUUACCUUUAGCUAAGUAUUUCCAUGUUGCCUACCUUUGUGUUUUAUCUAAAUUCAAGUACAAACCUACCUAAUUUUGCAUGGAAUUAGUCCUCAAAGUUUUUAAAAUUAGUUAAAUAUCCCACCAAAAGAUGAUAUUGUAUUUGUAUUUCAAGAAGUUAUUUUAAAAUCUUAACCAAAAAUGGUGUUACACGACUGAGAAUUUGCGUGGUCAAUCAAACAGACCAUUAGUUUUUCAUUAAGAUGGCGACAUGGCGUACAAAAACUGUUUAGCCAUUCUUAAAUUCAAAAAUUGCAUACAUAUUUAGAUUUAACAAAUUUUGGAUUAGUGCCAAACAUGAACUUAAAAAUAUAAGCAGAAUAUAUACAAGUGUGACACAAGCUUAAUUGUUUUCAUUCUCUCUAUUGUUUCCAACUUUGGGAUAAGCAUGUAUAUUGCUACAAGUCAAUUAAACUGUUUUAGCUUGAUAUUCUUGCAGUAUGUCACAUAAACCUUUAGGAAUAUUGUGGCCUUAAUUUAAGCUUAAGUAAACCACAGAAAGUAGGUACAGUAUUUAAUCGUCUUCGAAUAUAGAAAACAAUUUAAUUAGCCCUUUAAUUUCUUGAUCACCAGCAGUCACUGUAAUAUUUACAUUUGUUUAAUUAUCAUCUUGAAGUUAUGAAAUUCUAAAUUCACUCUGUGCUUUGAAUGUACUGCUUACAAUGAAUAGGGGUUUAAAGCAUUCUCGAUCAGAAUCGUCAAAGAACUGAUGGAUAAGAAAAAUGUGUGGACAGUUCAACAUAGGAUAACCUCGAUAAUGUUUACAUAUAUUCCUAGAAGAUGAUCAGUUUGAAGAGAAAUGUUCAUGCUAAGAUACACAGCUCAACACAUUGCGUCCAUGAUAAUGUGACUGAAGUAAUUGGACAAAUAUAUGCAACAGUAUACCUACAACUUGCAUAUAAACUUGUACAUCUUGUUAACUUAACAGCUGGAAACAUUAGAAAAAGAUUUAGUAAACAAGGUAGCUCCAUUCAACUCUCUCUUAAACCACAAAUGAAACUUCUUGCAAAAGAUGGUUGUCAACAAGAAAGAAAGUAUUAAAAAUGUGGAUUAAGGUUUUCUAAACAUUUUGACAUUAAUCCAAACUUCCGAAGAUCAAUUAAUCAAACUUUUUUUUUAUUAUAUUUAUUAUUUUCUGACUUAAUUGAUAGCCAUUGCAAUUGAACCUGCCUAUAAGGUCAUGGUCAUGGUGUGGAUUACUAUCAAAAUUGCCUGACUAGAUUUCAUGAGGUGAAUUGAACAAGACUGCAUUGACCCUGAACUUGAGACCUUGAAUAUAGUAUAUUUUCAUGCUUGUAUAGUAUAUCUCUAUAUAUUGCCACUUAAUCCAAUAAACAACAACUCCUAAUUCCUAUCUAAUUUUGCAUUGUAUUAUAUAGUUUACGUGCACCGGUGGUAGCUCAAUUGGCCUGGCAUGACGACUAUAUUCUAUGCACUGGUGACUGGACUACUGGUCAUGGACUAUUCGGUUUUUUAUAUUUACCAACAAAACAGAUGAAUCAAGGAAAUGUUGAACUGUCAGUACUCAGUACCCACAGUUAUUUGAAGUUCAAAUGCAUGUCUUGACCACAUAAGUAGCUUUUGUUGUUGUUGCCUAUGUGAUAUGGAGGAUUCACUGUUCACUGGAACACUAGCAGCUAUCACUGAAAUACGUAGCAGUAAGUAUUUCUUUCAUAUUUACUCAAUAAUUAAUGCCUGGCUGUCUUUUGGAUUUUAUUUUGUCAAUUAAACAAGUUCCUUGUCGCAAUUCGCAUGUUGAUCUUAUAUUGUUUGAUAAUAAGCCUUUGAGAAUGUUAUACAAAUUUCAUUCUAUUUGUUUUGUGGUUUGAGCAAUCUAGGCGUACUUGAUUAUUUUAUAUUGACUUUGUGUAUACACAUCGUCGUGAACCCAUUUAUAUUCGACUCUACUCGACGUAACACCACUUUUACUCGAGCUCACUUCGUGACCACAAAUAUAAAUCCAAUCCGACCUUAACAUACCUUCAUUCGACAUGGACCUAUUUUUAUCCGACCUCACCCGACGUGAGACUACCACUAUUCGACCUACAUCGUCUUCGUUCAAAGAUUAUACGUUUCGAUUCUCUGCAGUUACAAUAUAUUUCCAGAUCCAAAAUAUCCGCCCAUUAAUUGACCAAGCCGUUGGGCAAUUAAUGAGCUAUCCGUUGUCCCAAUCACCUAUAUAUACGAACUACGUGGGCUUGAUUCUGGGACUUAGCCACUCUCAGAUACGUAGGCAACUAUCUAAAUCAGAUAGCUCAGCCAUUUCCACAACCUCAUCUCCUUCCCCUCUAAAAUUCCGAUCAUCUUCUCCGACUUGUUCCAAAAACCAAAUUCACUUACAUUUACAUUGGCGCCGACUGAUUCGUGAACGGACAAUAACCUGACAACCAUGGCAACAAUUACUAAUGAGCAAUUUGAACAACUCCAAAAGCAGAUGGCUGAUCAACAGGAACAGAUUAACAGGCUGGUGGCUGAAAACAAUCACCUUAAGAGCACCACCGCCACCACUAAUGGCACACCGCUCAACGGAGUUGCUGCAAAUGCGCUCAAUGCUGAAGAAGUCACAACAACCGUCAACAACCCUGCUCUACCCACCUCCAGUAACACCGCCGCCCCCACCAUGGCUGACCUUCAAGCUGCUCAUGACAGAAUACUACAGCUGUCGGAAAAGCUUGAUAAAAACCAUCAAGAAUCACUUAAGGCUAACACAGCCCAAAAGGUAGCCUCAACAACCCUGGAACUUUAUAAGAUAGAGCCCCUUCAUGAAGACCUCCUCCAACAGGAACCCCCCCCAAAUUUCAUACCUCCAAAGUUCACCACUUACGAUGGAAGUGGAGACCCAAUGGAUCACGUCCUGCAGUUCAAGACAAGUAUGGCCUUAUGGCCAAAGUACAAGGACAUUUUCUGCCGAUUGUUUUCUGCAUCACUCCGUGGGAGUGCAAUAGACUGGUAUCAUCGAUUACCAGAAAGAUCUGUUACAUCGUACGACCAACUAGAGUCACUUUUUGUCACCCAGUAUAUCCACAACAAAAGAAGAAGAAUCGAGGUUACUGCCCUUUUUCGUCUCAAACAAGAUGAAACUGAAACAACAAAGAAGUUCAUGGCAAGGUUCAAAAAGGAAUGCCUGCGAGCCGAGAAUCCAGAUGAAUACUCGUGUCUUUUGGCCUUCAUAUCUGCUGUCAACCCCAAUACAGCAUUAGGAAAAAAUAUUAUCCUAGAUGCACCUGCAACAUUGGAAGAUCUGUAUGUACGCGCUGACAAGUACAUCAAACUGGAGGACGCCCUCACAAAAUCCAAAGAGCGAGUAGCUGUUGUCCAAACAACAGAGUCCACUUACUCAAAACCAAAGCCGAAUCGAUCAGAGUACAAGGGCAAGACAACAUCCAAUGCCAAAUCCAAGUUUCCGAAUCCCUUCAAGUGCUCAUACAAUCAACUCUUCGACCUCAUCAAAGAUGAGGAUUACUUCCAGCCUCAGGUUCAUGACCUAGAACCAAUUGAAGGCAAACCAUAUUGCAAGUUACAUAAGUGCCGUCACCAUCUCACUGAAGAUUGUCGUAUUCUGCGAGCUUACUGUCACAAGCUCAAGGAGGAGGGUCACCUCGAUGACUUCCUCUCUGAAAAUGAACCUGACCUCCGCAACAAACUAGAGGCCAAAAGACAAAAGACCUCGGAGGAGAAAGGUAAAAAGCCUAAGGGAACCAUUAACAUGAUCAUGGAUGCCCGACCUCCCGAAUGGUCAGCUCGCUCAAAGAAACAAAAGAUUCAUCACAUCCACCAUACCUUCCACUUGACUCACAAAGCAAUCGUGGCUAAACAAGUCACAGGUAACAAUGCCUUGAUUUUCUCGGACUUUGACCUUAAAAAGGUAUGUCUCCCACAUAAUGAUGCAUUGGUAGUCCACAUCAACAUCGGGGGGUGGAUAAUGAAAAAAGUGCUUAUCGACCCCGGAAGUUCUUGUGAUGUAAUAUUCAACAAGGCAUACAGUCAAAUGCAGAUGCCCGACUCGGUCCUUCAGAAGCCACAAGUCACUCUCUUUGCAUUCAACUCAACUGAAACUGAAGCAAAAGGUGAAAUUUGUCUUCCCGUAGCAACUGGUGAAAAUGAAGACGAGGUAACUGUGUAUUGCACCUUCUUCGUCCUCGAUGUCCCCGCUCAGUUCAAUGCAAUUCUGGGACGAAAAUGGAUUCAUAGAAUGAAAGCAGUACCAUCGACAUACCAUCAGGUCAUCAAGUUUCCUGGCCCUAGAGGCAUCAUGGAAUUACGAGGUGACCAAAUCGAAGCACACGGCUGUCAUGCCAUACCCGAGGUUAUCCCACUCCCUAAUAAGGUGGAUACCUCCACGACGGUGGCGAGCUCAUCUAAGCCCACUGUCAAUAUGAUCGCUGCAAUCUGCAAGGCAGUCGAAGACUCAACUCAAACCACUGAGAAUGAAAUCUCACAAGCUCAAAACGGCAAGGAAAUUGUUCAUCCAUCUGACCCACCUGUCAUUGAACAAGGUGAAAAGGUCAACAUAGGAUCGGAUAACGAUCCUAAAUAUGUCUAUGUAGGGGCUAACUUGGACCCCAUUGUAAAAGAGCAACUUGUUGCUACUCUUAAGAUGAAUAAAAAUGUCUUUGCUUUUGCUUAUACCGACAUGCCAGGGAUCAACCCCACUAUUGCUUGUCACAGGUUGAAUGUAGAUACCAAUAAAAAGCCUGUAAAACAAAAAGCUCGCAAGCUAGCAGCUCAUCUCGCCAAUGCGGUUAACGCAGAGAUACAAAAGCUAAAAAAUGCAAAAUUCAUACGUGAGGUCGCAUAUCCUGACUGGCUCUCCAAUAUUGUCGCAGUCAUAAAACCUAAUGGUAAAAUCAGAGUAUGUAUCGACUUCACGGACCUCAACAAAGCUUGCCCAAAAGAUAGUUUCCCUUUGCCUCGAAUAGACAAGCUCGUUGACUCAACAGCAGGUCACGAACUAAUUUCUUUAAUGGAUGGUUAUUCAGGCUACAAUCAAAUAAAACUAGCAGACGAAGAUCAGGAGAAAACCGCGUUCAUCACUGAGCAAGGUACCUUUUGUUAUACAGUCAUGCCAUUUGGAUUAAGAAAUGCGGGAGCCACAUACCAACGACUCGCAACCAAAAUGUUCCAUGAUAUGAUUGGCAACACAAUGGAAGUCUAUGUUGAUGACAUGAUAGUUAAAAGCAAGCACAAAGCUACACAUGUCACCGACCUCGAACAAACAUUCCUCCGACUUAACGAGUACAACAUGAAGCUCAAUCCGGAAAAAUGUUUAUUCGGCGUAGCAUCUGGAAAAUUCUUGGGUUACCUCAUCACACAAAGGGGUAUCGAAGCAAACCCAGAAAAAAUCAAAGCUAUACUUGAGAUGCCGAGCCCAAAAACCAAGAGGCAAGUUCAAAAACUCAACGGCAUGAUAGCAGCCCUAAACAGGUUCAUAGCCCGGGCAUCAGACAAACAACGACCAUUACUUCAGCUACUAAAGAAAGGGUCAACUUAUAACUGGACAACGGAAUCCCAACAAGCAUUCGACGAGCUCAAGUUAUACUUGGCUACCCCACCAGUCAUCACCGUGCCACAAGAUGGCGACGUACUGGGACUUUACCUUGGCACAUCUGAACACGCAAUUAGUGGAGUAUUAUUCCGAGAUGAAAGAGGUAUAGAAAGACCAAUAUACUUCAUCAGUAAGACAUUGAUGUCUUCCGAAACUCGGUAUUCAAGUCUUGAGAAGGUAGGUUUAGCUUUACUAUUCGCCUCGCGAAAGUUGAAGCCGUAUUUCCAAUCACACAAGAUAAGGGUCCUCACAGAUGCACCACUUCGGCAAGUGCUGGAAAGCAGAAACAAAUCUACACGAAUGGCAAAAUGGGCCCAAGAGCUCGGAGACCACGAGCUCAUUUUCACUCCAAGAAGUAGCAGAAAAGGGCAAAUCGUAGCUGACCUCCUGGUGGAUUACGCCAUCGAUGACAACUCAUGGAUACCCGAUAAUGAGGUCAUCGACCAACCAAUAACAAAGCUUUCAAUAUGGAAACUCUAUGUCGAUGGCUCCAAAAACCUCAACGGUUCAGGGGUAGGGGCCACGCUAAUUUCACCAGAAGACGCAAUCAUAGAAAAGUCAGUCAGACUAAAUUUCACCACAAGCAACAACGAUGCAGAAUAUGAGGCACUCCUCACAGGCAUACAAAUGGCCAUAGCUUUACAGAUAAAGGAACUACGAAUACUAAGUGACUCACAAUUGGUAGUCAGCCAAAUUCUAGGCGACUACGAAACAAGGGAAAAGACUCUAAAGCUAUAUUUGGAACAUACCAAAAAAUUACUAAGUUAUUUCAACAAAUGGGAGAUUCAGCAUGUCCCACGGGAUGACAACCGUCAUGCCGAUAGCUUGGCAUAUCUAGCCUCGCAAAUCGACACUGAUUCACCACGGACGAUACAAAUUUACAUACAGUCAGCCCCGGCAUAUGAGGCACAGGUGCAUCAGGUAAAUGAGGUAUCAGACUUCAUAGAUAUUCCACCUACUGAAAUAGAAAAUUCCUGGAUGGGACCAAUCAUCAAUUACUUAAAGGGAAUAUACCCAGAUGAUGAUUUUGAAUUACGUAAACUCGAGCGAAAGGCUAAAAGCUAUAUUCUGCUCGACAAAAGACUCUACCGAAAGUCAACUCGAGGGCCAUAUUUGAGGUGUCUCCCACCAAAACAAGCACACACAAUUCUCGCUGAAAUCCACCAUGGGGAGUGCGGAAACCAUGCAGGGGCUAGGUCUUUAGCCCAAAAAGCAAGAAAUCAAGGUUAUUUUUGGCCAUACAUGCAGUCAGACGCAGACAAGUUUGUCCAACACUGUGACAAGUGCCAAAGAUUUGCUCCAUUAAUUCACCAGCCAGCACGGGACCUCAAGACAAUCUCAAGCCCUUGGCCUUUUGCAAUCUGGGGGCUCGAUAUUGUGGGUCCCAUAUUGAGAGAUAGAUCCAAGAAAAGAUUCUUACUCGUGGCAACAGACUACUUCACCAAAUGGGUCGAAGCAAUACCUCUACGACGAAUACGUCAACAAGAUGUCAAAAACUUCAUCUGGAAGUAUAUUAUCACCAGAUUUGGACUACCACACACUCUGGUCACCGAUAAUGGUCAACAAUUCUGUGGAACUUUAAUCGAGGAAUUCUACCUCGAUUGGAGAAUCAACCAUGCACUCUCGACACCUCGCUACGCUCAAAGCAACGGUCAGGCCGAAGCCACCAACAAGACCAUCAUGAAUAAUAUUAAGAAAAAACUUGAAGCACACAAAGAGAAGUGGAUAGAGGAACUCGAUAGAGUACUAUGGGCAUACAGAACGACACCGCGCACGUCUACAGGAAUGUCUCCAUUUGCCUUAUGUUAUGGCACGGAAGCUAUCAUACCAACUGAGCUAAACUUCCUAACUACUCGAUCUGAGCUCGUACAAUCCAAGGAAAACGAAGAUUUAUGGGCCCACGAGGUUGACAUGCUCGAGGAGAAAAGAGACCAAACCUUAAUCACCACUGCCCGUUACCAACAAGUCUUAAAAAGGAGCUACAACCAAAAAGUCCGAUCAAGGGAAUUCCAAAGUGGAGACCUCAUCCUCAGACAAGUUUUUUCAAAUACAAACAAAACCUGGGGACGGAAAGUUAAAUCCUAAUUGGGAAGGACCAUACAUUGUCAAAACCAAUUUAGGAAAUGGCGCAUACACACUCAUUGAUGCAGAAGGAGAACAGGUGCCUCGACCAUGGAACUCGAAAUUCUUAAAAAUCUAUCUACCUUGAUCAAUUUCAAGUACCGACAUCUCCAAUGCCCUCACAGCAAGAUUAGGUAAUAAAAUCACAUACAACGCAUACUACAAAGCAAGUUAUUUCGAGUUACAUUGAACGUCAAGUUGUAACAAGAACCAAAUAUAUUCAAUUCAACAUACAAACAUUUAGUCUAAAUAGUUGGAUUGCGAAAUAAAGCAGACGUAAGGCCAACCGAAGUCGGAAUUCCUUACUCAUGUUUUACAACAUCAAAAGAAAACCUCACAGCUCUCAGCAGAAUUGAAAAUACAACAAUAAGAUCAGGGCUGCUCAUCAGGAGCAUCUAGGGUCGCGGCGCCAGAAUUCUCGCCAGCUCGAGGAGAAGGUUCCUUUUCAGCCUCCACAGUAGAAACAGCACCCCCGGGGUUAUUCUCCUCUUCUGUUUCAAGACGAAAACGCUCAAGAGCGACAACUUUUAUGGCGUCCUUAUCAGCAAAAGCAUCAAAGUUUUCUACCAAUAACGCAAGUUGAGCCUCGCGACGUUGACACCUCUCCUCCAGGGCAUAAGAUAUUUGCCGCCAACCCGCAAUGCUCUUAACAGACUUCUGCGCAUCAGCUUCCCAGCUCGCAUUAACAUCUGCAAGCCGACCUUGAAGAGUCAUCACAAAACUUUGCGCCUCAUCCAGAUUGGCACCGUACUCGGCACACUCUUUCUGGGAAGCCUCGAGCUUACCCUUCAGACUCUGGUUCUCAGCUCGCAAUGCCUUGACUUCAGCAUUGGCUUUUUGCAGAGCUUCAGCCUUUUUCUUUGCAUUCUCGAGCUUGGUAAUCCACUUGUUAUGGAUCACAUUCAUCUGACAUACAGAAAGAGAAGAAUCAAAAAAAAAAAAAAAAAAAAAAAAAAAAAAACAAAAUACAUGAUAAGUAAAAAGGUAAACCAAAUCAUAACUGGGCAAGUGAAACUCACCCUAUAUGCGCAAGACGCGAAUUCUUGGGAAUCCUCCACAAGAGACUGAGGCUGAAUCUUCUUCGCGUCCUCAAAGAGAAAGCAAUUCUCCAUCAGCGAAAGACUCAUCUCCUUGUCAUCCCAAGCCGAGUCUUCAGCCCUCACAUAAGAAUCACGACAAGGAAAUACCGGCGAAAACCGAUUCACCUCACCUGCAGCGAAAUCCUCGCUCACGUCGACAGCCACUGGCUUAGUCGACUUGGAUGGAGGGGCUUGGGCUUUUCCCUUCCCCUUAUCCUGAGCAGGUCUAUCGACCUUAGAGGUGGUCACAACCUCAGAUGCCCUAGCUGGGGAUUUCCUCUUCUUAGACUGGGAAGCAGGUUCGAUUGACCUCGACCCAAAAAAGUCACUCAGAUUGGGUGCGUUUGGAACCUUACUCGCCAGAUGAGUAGAUCCACCGGUCAGGGGAAAUUCUGUAGACUUCUUUGGUGGGGCCAUGAUAGGCAAAGCAGCCACAGCCUCGACUGGCAAAUCCCCUGGUCGACCUGAAACCAACUCCGCAACUGGAAGAGCUAUAGCAAGCUCCCCUUUCUUCCUUCUCACUCUCUUUAGCGCAGGAGCACUCGAGGCACCGACUUCAACUUCGGUACCUUUGGUAAAUUUAACUCGGGGCUCACUAAAGAAACGGGCAAGAUGAGGUAACAGCUUCCUUUUCUCUGCCCAAGACUUCUCAGCAAAAUCAAUUAUAUUGCUUGGAUGCAAACGCCCGUCGAUAUGCUCGUUGUAAUCUUUGGUUUGACCUACAAAACGCACAAGGGAAGUCAGCAAAAAACUCAACUUUAUAAAUAUAAGACUAAGUUACAAGACAUACGUUCACCUAUGCUCGGAAUCGCAUAUCGACAUAGGAAAGCACUGGGCUGGACAAAUUGACCCCGAAUUCUAUACACAGGGGAGUUCUUCCACCCAUCAUUCGAAGUCGGAGGGUUGAACAGCUUUGCUCGGCCACAACCCCGUCUCCUAUUUAAAGAGCAAACGUAGUCCCCACUCCGACCGGUCACACACAUGAAGUAUGCAACGACAUCAGAUUUUACAAUAUCGGCCUUAUACAGCCUGUUCAAUUCUUCAAAAAUCAACAUUGAUGUCCAAAAACUGGUGGGCAUCAUAAUUGGAGCCACGUCGUAGUGAUUCAAAACAUCACAUACGAACUUGCUAAAUGGAAGACGCAUGCCCCCCCUCAGCUGGCCAAGACAGAUUAGGGUCGAGGUGGUAUCCCCACAUAAGUCGAACAACCUAUCAGAUACCCUAUACAUUUCAAGGUCGGGUAUGUUAAUAUUAAACUCAGCUCGAAUUUCAGGAAACGACCUUCGAGCCUCAUCCACACUAAGGACCCUACCACUAGUAGUCUCUUCAUCAAUUGCUUCAAUUCGACUACCACUUACACUAGCCUGAACAUCUUCAUCGUUCUCACUUAUACUUUCAGAUCCCCUAUCACUCAUUUUUCCGAUGGGUAUAUAACUAUAACUACGACAAGUCAACAGACAAACAAUCUCCGGCAAGAACAAAUAGCAAAUACAGACACAGAAAGCUUCAAAACUUCAACAAUGGCGGAGAUAUUCAAAAAACAACACCCAAACAACAGAAAUCUCCACAGACAAACAAAGAAAUCGAACAGAUACAAGAGAAAAUGGAAUAACUCAAACACCAAAUGAAAAAAAGGAGAUAACCAAGCAAAAUUGAUGAAGAACAGCAAUGGAGAUACAAAUGAGAAGAAAUGAAGGAGAAGAAUAAAAGAGAAGAGAGUAAGUUACCUUGCGAUGAGCAGAUGCAGCAGCUUUAAAUCCAAAGUUAAGGAAACCCUUGGUUUUCUAGCCAUGCGGUUAGGUUUUAUAAAACCCAACCACUCCAUCAUAACCGUUCAAGCUAACUCUAAUCAACGGCCAGAUAUGCCACAAGAAAUCCAACCGCUGAAACUUUUGGUUUCCCUCCCAUUUCCGUUACUUUCUCAAAAUCAAAAUUCAAAAUACAUUACACGUGGCUAAAAGAGCGCAUUACCCAACUACAGCAAUCAUUUCUCUCCUCUCGAAAAUACAAACUCAUUUACUGCCGCACGCAAUGGAAUCUUUGCUUGCAUCGUAAAUCGAGAGCAAACAGCCGACUAGACAGUGUUAUCUUCUACAUUUUUUAUUUCGACUUGAGUCCACAACGUCCGAAAACUUACUUCCUAGCCCCAACUCAAAAUAAAAAAGGGGCUAUGUGUAUACACAUCGUCGUGAACCCAUUUAUAUUCGACUCUACUCGACGUAACACCACUUUUACUCGAGCUCACUUCGUGACCACAAAUAUAAAUCCAAUCCGACCUUAACAUACCUUCAUUCGACAUGGACCUAUUUUUAUCCGACCUCACCCGACGUGAGACUACCACUAUUCGACCUACAUCGUCUUCGUUCAAAGAUUAUACGUUUCGAUUCUCUGCAGUUACAAUAUAUUUCCAGAUCCAAAAUAUCCGCUCAUUAAUUGACCAAGCCGUUGGGCAAUUAAUGAGCUAUCCGUUGUCCCAAUCACCUAUAUAUACGAACUACGUGGGCUUGAUUCUGGGACUUAGCCACUCUCAGAUACGUAGGCAACUAUCUAAAUCAGAUAGCUCAGCCAUUUCCACAACCUCAUCUCCUUCCCCUCUAAAAUUCCGAUCAUCUUCUCCGACUUGUUCCAAAAACCAAAUUCACUUACAUUUACAGACUUGUCACUUGUCAGUGUGUUGCAUGACUUAUUCACAGAAGUGCAAUUCACAUUUAAUUAAAACUUUAAAAAUCGACAACACCACUAGUUGCAACUACUAAUCAAAUAAUUCAACGCAAAUGGUAAGAGGAUUACAGAAGAUUGAACUUGCCAAAAUGUAAAUCGUAAAAGUAAAGAAAUGAAUGAUAAUGUUUUUUUAACUAAUAAUAAACAACCUCAAGCAUCUUGCAAAGUAUUGACCAUAUGCACGAACUGCUAAACACAGUGCAGAGUAGCUGGCACCUUUGAUUUCUAAGAUGGGGUGUGCGGUGAUAAUGUCUCCCGGAGCUUUCUUUCAUCUGAAAGUAGUUUGGCAAACCUAUAUACAAAUUGAAAUAUAUGUUAUGUACUAAUAAUCUACGAUCCAAGACAGUAACACAAUUUCGAGAUAUAUUUACCGUAUGAGAGCUUCCUCAUUGGUACCACCAUCUACCACAGGUUCUGAAACACCUGUGUCCAAGUUCAUCCUUGAAACUGGCUUCUUCAACAAGUUUUCACCAAUUUUUACAAGAUUAUCCAAGUUCUCAGUUGUGGCAAUAUCAGUUGAAGAUUCGGUUGUAUCCAAUGUCUCAUCCUAGAUUAGCAAAUUAGAUGUCAAUCGUUAGAAAUUUGAGGACUACAUUAAUUAAUAGUCUUAAACUAUCACGAAGUUAUAUAUAAUAUAUACAUUAAUGCUUUACCUUGAUUCGGAGAUAAUUAGCUUCAGACUUUAGAGCUUGAAAUACCACACAAAGGUGAUAAUCAACCAUAUCUGCACUUGAUUGAGUAAACAGUUCAACUAAUGGAGUUGAAUCACUCGCAGUUAACCAACCCAAAAGCCCCCACUUGGCUGCCAUAUCAGCAUUGUACUUCUCUUGGUUCUUUGCUGAGCCGGUUCCUAUCGAUAUAACAAGAUAUUUACCAUAGUCUAAUGGCCGAGUUGGCAAGAAAUCUGGAUUCUCAUUGUUAAUCUGCUUAGUCACUUCACUGAGGGCAACCAAUGUCUGUAAUCAGAUUUGAUUUAGUUAAUACUUGUUUCUCACACUAUUUAAUCAGUAUUAGUAGUAACAUAUAUGUUCUUAUGCGCUUUUAGUGAUUUUACCGGAUUAUUAGCUGUUACACCACCAUCCACAAGAUUGAACUCUCUAACAUUUCCUUCUGAAUCUGUGUUUUGGAAAUAGUGUGCAGGUAGGUAAGUUGGCGCUGCAGAGGUGGCUAUGCAGAUAUCUGAUAGUCGAACAUCCAGGACAGGAUUCAUCUUCAGCUGCAUUAGUGAAAUAUGAUAAUAUUACAAAGGUCUGUGUUUUCAUAUUGAGACAUCUAAAGUCUUACAACUUAGAAAAAUACCCUCUGGUUGGUAUGAAAAGUACACAAAUUUAAGAAAUAAAACAAUGAUUAGUGUAAUUUAGUUUCAAUUAAAAUUUAUCAUUUAAUCAGUAAUCUGACUUUGUAUUAAAAUAAUAUGUAGCGAUAUUAAUUUAAAGCAUGUUUGUUGUCAUCAUCAUAUUCUAUAAGCUUCUUAAAUUUACUAUAUUAUAACAAUCUAUAAUUUUAUCGCACUCAAACUCUUGACAAUACCACGUAGUAAUAAUUUACAUGAGUAGGAAAGCAGUAAAUUACAUGCAGGCAGAUAGGAAGGAUGAACUACUAGAUUUUCUUAAAAAAAAUCCCAACUACUGAUAGAAAAUUUUAGAUUAAGUAGAACCUGCUUAUUCAGGUUGUAUUUCAAAAUUCAAAUGAUAGAGAGGUUUAUAACUUAAGUAGGCAGAGAAAAAUAUGAAGAAUCAGCGAGCAUCAUCAAACCACGACUUGGUCUGAGUCUGAUGACACAUGGGAAAGUUGUAUCAAGAAAUGAGGGAUAUACAAGGAGAGGUCAAGAGUGAAGAGGAAUUGCUGCCAUUACUAUAUCAGCACUAUGCUGAUGCUGUCAGUGAGGGAUUUGAACUGUCAGAUGAGUAUAGGGAACUGUUCAGUUUAAGGAGUGCAGUCCUAUCAAAAGAACUCUGUUUCACAACAUUUCAGAAUUACCUGAGAAGUCUUGUAAGAAGAUCGAACAUGACCAUGAGAAGCAUCAUGGUCAAGAAGAUGUUGGAUUCCAAAGCUUAAUACAAUGGCUAAUUAUAAGAACAAAAUAUGUCCUCUCUGCUUUGAGCCUAUUCUCUUAAUAGACAUGUUUUUUGCCUAUGAAAGUCUCACAAGAAAUCAAAAGAUUCUCGAGCUUCAUAGGAAUCCCCUGUAUAGGUAACAUGUUUCUAAGCUUCAUAGGAAUCCCCUGUAUAGGUAACAUGUUUCUAUUAGCACUUUUUAAAUGUAUGACAGUGAGAGAGAGAGAGAAGAUGGUUGGUUGGAGUUGCUUAAUAUCAAAAGUAGUAAUAGCCACAUUCGUCAAACUCUGGCUCAACCUUGUCUGUAACACCCAUGAGUUGGUGUUAGUCCCACAUUGCCAAGGAAGUGGUUGUUUCGGUAGUAUAUAGAGCUUAACCAUAUUCUAACUAAUGUCAAGGCCUUUUGGGGUAAGCCACAUGGGUGGGCCCUGAUCCAAAACCCUCUACUGUUGGAUAUCCGUAGUGACUAAAGGGGGACAAUAUUGACAUUAGCGAGUGGUAUGGUGCUCGACGCACCCCACCGUGGAAAACAAACCACUGGAAAAUAUGGAAAAGAAUCAUGAAUUAGUUAUCCAAAUUUUCCUCAACAUUGGUAUGGUGCUCGACGCACCCCACCGUGGAAAGCAAACCACUGGAAAAUAUGGAAAAGAAUCAUGAAUUAGUUAUCCAAAUUUUCCUCAACAUUAAUAGACGACAUAGUGAUAGCGAGAAUCUUAUGUUAAGAGGCACUCCGGCCUUACCAUACAAAACAGCACAUAGUAGCACUAUCUUGUGGAAAUAUCUUUGGGCAGUUCUCAAGGUAGAAUGGAGUGAUAUCUUUGGCUGCAUAGCCGGGACGGUUGCUUUCGUUUGGUGCUGUUAACAUAGCUGUCACAAGCCCCCCUGUGCUUGUUCCUGCUACUACAUCGAAGUAAUCUGCAAGUCUUACAAUCUUCAAAGUCAAACAAGAUAUCUAAAUUAAUAUGUGUAGAGUUAGGCAUGCAAAUAUAGGAUCUAAAGAAUGACCACUCUUGUGAAACCGAGUGUUGCACAGAAAUGGAAGCAAAACUAUAAUUCUAAAGAUUAGGGUAGUCAGAAGUGAUCGCGCAAGAGGCUUUUCUGUCCUGGUAUAGGUGGCUCCAUUUCCAAAAUCUAUAUCAAACUAUGCAAUUCCGCAAAUACAUUUAAACUUGGAAGUUUUGAAUGACAGCAGAGAUCUUGUUGGUGGAACCAACUAAAUAAGAUGAAUACAUACUUUUAGCUUAAUCUUAACAACGAAAGCUUUGUUCCCAUUUACAGGUACCCAAGCUGUACAUAGGGCAGAACUAUAUUACAAUCUUGUUUGUCCUGAAAUCUACAAACAUCAUAGGGGAAGCACAUUGGUGCUUCUCUAGUUCGCUUUGAAGGAUAGCUCUUCAAAGGUCUCUGGCAAAACAUAAUACAUACACAUGCCUAUUCUUUCCCUACAUUUAGAUAUAGCAGGUUUGCAUGCAUGUGUGUGAAUAUAUACUUUUAGACUUGGAAGUUUUGAAUGACAGCAGAGAUCUUGUUGGUGGAACCAACUAAAUAAGAUGAAUACAUACUUUUAGCUUAAUCUUAACAACGAAAGCUUUGUUCCCAUUUACAGGUACCCAAGCUGUACAUAGGGCAGAACUAUAUUACAAUCUUGUUUGUCCUGAAAUCUACAAACAUCAUAAGGGAAGCACAUUGGUGCUUCUCUAGUUCGCUUUGAAGGAUAGCUCUUCAAAGGUCUCUGGCAAAACAUAAUACAUACACAUGCCUAUUCUUUCCCUACAUUUAGAUAUAGCAGGUUUGCAUGCAUGUGUGUGAAUAUAUACUUUUAGACUUGGAAGUUUUGAAUGACAGCAGAGAUCUUGUUGGUGGAACCAACUAAAUAAGAUGAAUACAUACUUUUAGCUUAAUCUUAACAACGAAAGCUUUGUUCCCAUUUACAGGUACCCAAGCUGUACAUAGGGCAGAACUAUAUUACAAUCUUGUUUGUCCUGAAAUCUACAAACAUCAUAGGGGAAGCACAUUGGUGCUUCUCUAGUUCGCUUUGAAGGAUAGCUCUUCAAAGGUCUCUGGCAAAACAUAAUACAUACACAUGCCUAUUCUUUCCCUACAUUUAGAUAUAGCAGGUUUGCAUGCAUGUGUGUGAAUAUACUGUACCUGGAGUUCUGAUUCUAAGAAGGCGAGAAUAGUUCCCGGAAUGAUUCCUCUUAUUCCACCUCCAUCAAUACUAAGAACUGUAACUAAUUUUCCAUAAAUUGGAGGUUGUAAAGCGAAGGAUGAAUAGUUUGUCUCCAUGAAUACACUACUGAUUCACUGACGAAGAAAUAUUAGAUAGGAAAGGAUCUUAACAAUAUAUUGUAAACAACAGAUGGAUUUCAGAAGCUCUUACUAUGCUAGUUAAUAUAAUGUGGAGGUAUUUAUAUAGCAUCUUGAAGCUUAGUAGGGAACUAUUUCAAGAAAAUUUACUUUGACUUGGAUAUUAUUUUCUGGUGCUUUACCAAUCUUGACAAUGAUUUUUGAUUUUCUUUUGCUUAUGUAAAGUAAGUCGAUUAUUAACUUUAGACGCAUUAUAGAAGCCAAACUACAAUAAACAUGCAAAUUUGCCUUUUCUCUCUUAUAUAUGCUUCUUAAUAUUAGAUUUACCUUUAGUUAAGUAUUUCCAAGUUGCCUACCUUUGUGUUUUAAUUAUCUACAUUCAAGUACAGUACUAACCUACCUAAAUUUGCAUAGAAUUAGUCUUCAAAGUGUUAAAUUUUAAAAACAGUUAAAUUUCCCACCAAAAGAUGUUAUAUUAUUUGAAGAAGUCUUUUUAGCUCUUAACCAAAAAUGGUAUUACACGACUGAGAGUUUGCGUGGUCAAUCAAACAGACCAUUGGUUUUUGGUUAAGAUGGCGACUUGGCGUACAAACUUAGUUUAGCCAAUGUUAAAUUCAUAUAUUGAAUGGAUAUUUGGAUUUAACAAAUUUUGGAUUAGUGCCAAACAUGAACUUCAAACUACAUAAGCAGAAUACUAUAUAGUCUAUAGAAUUGAAAUGUGACACAAGCUUGUUUUCUUUCUCUCUAUUGUUUACAACUUUGAAUAAAAUAUAGAACCGUGAUACGGUGGAGACCGACGUUAGGGGAAGAGAGAGGAAGAGAAAAGAGAAAAAACGAGAGAUUUCAAAAAACAGAAAAAAGACGACAGAAAAUUAAAAAGGAAAAAAAGGGGACAGACACGAGUUUGAGUUCCACCCGACUUUAAAUUGACCUCCUAACGUCGGUCGAUGAUAAGUAUAUGUAUUGUUGUUGGCACUAAUUAACUAAGUCAAUUAAACUGUUUUAGCUUGACAUUCUUUCAGUAUGUCAUAAACCUAUAGAAAUAUUUUGCACUUAAUUAAUUAAACUUAAUUAAAUCACACGAAGUAAUAGAAAACAACUUAGCCUUUUCAUGAUCAGCAGGAGUCACUGUUAUAUUUAAGUUUGUUUAUCAUCUUGAAGAUAUAGAAUUCCAAACUCUUUUCUCAGUGUACUGCACGAUUAGAGCUAGCUCUUCUUCCUUUGUUUUUUUUCCCAAAUUGAACUGCAGACUGCAGAGAUAAUCAUAUAUAGAAGUAAUAGAACUAUGCUAGUAAUGAUAAACAUUAAAAAAAAAUUGUUAAUAUUCAUGUCCCGAAGGGGAUAGGGCCCGAGGGCUUAUAAAGACAAUGCUCGUAGGCUAGAAAUACUACUGUUGCUGCCACUUAAUCAUCCACAUCACCACCUUGCUGCUCGAGCAAUACUGCUACACAGGGACUUGCUUUCGCUGAAGAACACCAGACGGCCACAUCAUGUCAUCGUGGGAGCAUGGGCCUCCUAAUCACGAACCAGACCCGAAGAAUUACAUAAGAAACUCCCCAAAGCACUCUUGAUUUUAUAUUGGGCCUCAGCUUAAUGGAUCCGAGGCCCAUAAUAAAUAUCCAAUUGAAACCUAUCAGAGAUAAUAAUCAAAAGAUUAGGGAAAGGAAUUGGGAGGGAAGAAGUGAAGAAGUAAUGUUGUUGUCAUCAUCAUCACCUUCCUUUGUUGGAGGAAGAAGAGAAGUGAGAGUCAAGAAAACACUCUCACUGUCACUCUCACUCUCUUCAUUCCACUAUCAUUCCAAUUUCAAGCUUGGAUUUAAUUGUCAUAAUUAUUUGUUCAACAAUCCACUUCUUGAAUUCCAACAAUCCCUAAAUUUAAACAACAACAAGAAAAUUAGUUUGAACAGAAAUGGUUGUUUUGUUUUCUGUUGUUCAGCUGAUGAUUCUGCGGAAAUUAUGGUGGCGCCGACGACGACAAGUGUAGCUCCAUUAGUUAAGAAGAGGAAAAGAUAUAGAAAGUUGUAUCCAGGUGAAAGUAAAGGAAUUGUUGAAGAAAUGAGAUUUGUUGCGAUGAAACUUCGGAAUGAUAAAACUAACAAGAAAAUUACUGAAGAAGAAGGAGGUGGAGGAGAAAGGGAAGAGAUUUGGCAACCUAGUAUUAAAGGUUUUCUUAAUUAUCUUGUUGAUAGCAAGCUUGUUUUUGAAACCCUUGAACGCAUUGUUGAUGAAUCUGAUGAUGUUAAUUGUGAGUUCUCUUUUCUUUCUUCUUCUUUUCAAAGUUUGGGUAUUUAAUGCAUUGAUGUGUGGCUUACUUAUACAUUUGCUUAGAUUUUUGUUCAUGAUUUGAAAUGUCUGAUAUCAGAGAUAAAUAUACAAAUUCAUCUGCACUUUUUAGAAAUUUUUUGGAUGCGUUUACACUUGUCUCUCAUUGUUAAUAAUGUUUUCCAAGUUCAAAUCAACAUGUGGGAGCUACUUAUUGAUUCCAUUCUAUAUAUAAAAUGAGAUGCCGUCUUUACUAAGUUUUGCACAUUUUGAAAACAUUGUCAUUAGAGUCCACCAUAUUGUUCAAAUUGCACGUACAUGAUACAUUUGAAAGUGAAUUUGGGAAUCCAGAUGUGUAAGGUCAUAUAUGUCGCCAAUCGUUUAGCUAGAUGUACGUCUUUACCUUUGGAGGAUGGACUAAAGUUGAACUCUCAGUCUCUAACCUCUAUCAAAUGUUAAUGUUAUUAUCUUUUGGUUUCUUUCCCCUUACAGAUGCUUACUUUAGAAAGACUGGUUUAGAACGAUCAGAAGUGCUCUCAAAAGAUAUAGAGUUGAUUAGCCAACAGGAUCUGGUGAUUCCACAACCAAGUUCUCCUGGUGUUUCCUAUGCAAGAUAUUUGGAGGAACUUGCAGAAAAGAGUGCUCCUAUGUUCCUUUGUCACUUCUAUAACAUAUAUUUUGCACACAUUUCUGGUGGUCAAGUGAUAGCGAAACAGGUAGAUGUCGGCAACUCAUAUUUGAUGGUUUUGAUGUUAUUUAUUGUUAAAUUGGCCAACUGUGAAUGAAAAGAUUAUCCUGCAUAUCCUGUUUGUAUUCAAUUCACUAAGCUUUUCGGUAUUUGAUUGAGAUUACUUACAAAAAUAUAUCUAUCUAUCCAAAUUACAACUUCUCAAAAUUCUGAUGGUCAUCAAACAUAAUUGACUUUGUACUAACACCCAAGGCUAACUUCCAAUCUCAAAGUAAGUAGCAACGACUUUCAUUUUCUUCUCAUGUGAUGCUUCAGAGGAUACAAAGCAGAAGAAAAUUCUAGGAAACGAGUCCCAGAAUCCUGAGAUCCCAAAGUUCUGGAAUCUUAAAUAUUUUUGUAAAGGAACCAAGAAUUCUGAAGAAUGCCCUUUUAUGUUACCUAGGUUAAAGGGCUUUCUCAUCCUUUAACUACUUUCUUUUAUUUGUCUGCCUUUGUGUUUCCUUUAAUUAUCGUUCAAUAUUUUCUGAAAGUUAUGUGUGGUGCACUACUCCUAUAAAACAUCAAAAAGCUUUCACCAUUAAGUUUUCUUUUCACCAUGCAUAUUGCUAGCUUAGAACUAUGUUCUACUGACUUCUCAGGUUUCGCCUGUGCCUUUAGCCCCUUACUCUUAGAGAGAAAAGUAAUUUGUGGUGUUAACUUUUGUUUAUAGUUUUCGCUCUGCUGCUUUCUUAGGUCGAUCCUAUUGUUGAUUGAUUAGUAAGAACCUCAACCCCACAGAUUAUGCAGGGACAAUUGAGUGUGAGGAGAUCUUCGACAAAUUAUUAUAGGUUUACAAGUUCCAUUGAACAAAUCACAUUGGUUUCUAUCCUAAAUAUUGUUUAGUCUUUAUUUCUGGUUAGGCAUUGAGUACCAAGAUGAGUACAAAGUGCUCGAUAAAAGAAGGGAACAGAAGAUAUGAAACCCACAUAUACUUUUAUUGUUGGUUUCUGGGUGUGCAGAUGAUCAUAGUUGAGACCUGAGUGUCAUGACUUGGUUUGGCCAAGACCAAUAUCUGGGGACCUUUCGUCCAGACAGUCUAUUCUGCAUCUUAUGCUACCUGGGCCCUUCCAAGCCAUUCUCUGUUGAAAUUGUCUACGAUGACUUACUAUAUUUUUUCUUGCUGAAUGCUUAGUUCAUAACAGUUUUAAUGCACUAUAAAUAAUCACAUUGGUUUCCAUCCUAAAUAUUGUUUUGUCUUUAUGUCUGGUUAGGCAUUGAGUACCAAGAUGAGUACAAAGUGCUUGAUAAAAGAAGGGAACAGAAGAUAUGAAACCAACAUAACUUCUAUCGUUGGUUUCUGGUUAUGCAGAUGAUCAUAGUUGAGACUUGAGUGUCAUGAUUUUGUUUGGCCAAGACCAAUAUCUGGGGAACUUUUGUCCACCUUAUCUAUUCUGCAUCUUAUGCUACCUGGGCCCUUCCAAGUCAUUUUCUAUAGAAAUUUUUUCGUUGACUUACUAUUUUUUUUUUUUUUGCUGAAUGCUUAGUUCAUAAUAGUUUUAAUGCACUAUAAAUAAGGAGCAUUAUUUGAUUAUAUAUUUUUGUAGCUUGCAAGUUCAUAGGUUAUAUGGGUCAAUCGAGUCGAAAAAUAUUUGCUUAGGCAGAAUUGCACUGGGUGUCCUAGGAUGCCUUAUUUACACCAAAUUUUGUUAUCUUAAGUCAGCUCUUCUUCUUGGAUUUGAAUAGGUUUCAGAGAAGCUUUUGGAAGGGAGAGAGCUGGAGUUCUGCAGAUGGGAGGGUGAUGAAUUAGAGCUGCUUAAAGAUGUGAGAGAUAAACUGAACCAGCUUGGUGAGGUAAUUGUAUGGACAAUCUCAUGUAUUUUGUCUUGCUCACAUCUCUUUGGUUGAGACAUCUUUAAAGUUCUUUAUGUUGUUGUUCUUUUAUAUAUGCAGCACUGGUCACGAGAUGAGAAGAAUAAAUGUUUAAGAGAAGCAACCAAGUCUUUCCGGUUUUUGGGUCACAUAGUCCGCUUGAUAAUUUUGUAGUACAACAUUGUUACAAACUGCCAGCUGACAGGUUUGGGUCUCGCUAUCUAGGAGGAUUUUUCAUCAUUGUUCACUUAUAAGAUUCAAACAAAGAAAUUUAAGAACUCCCCUCAAUCAUGCUCACCCUUGUUACAAACUGCCCGUUUGCAUGACUUUUAUUACUUGCAGAGCAUUGUUUUUCUCUUAGUCUGGGUGUGAUUAGCAUAGGAAAAAAGUACAGUUUAUUUUGUUGUCGGGGUGAGCAAUUGGAAUUUAUCUGAUCUGAACAAAAUUAGUCGACAAAGCUAUUUAAAAACAGAUAUAGCAAUGGGGAAGCAUGAAACUUUCCUGCACUACCAACUAUAUAAAAGAAUAGAGAAUCCUGACUUCAUCAAACAUUGUCAUGGGUGCCUAGAUGGGGUAUCUUUAAAACUUGUUGAAGGUAUGGUCCACUCAGAAUGGCAGAAUUUACUUAUAUGCAAACAAAAGGAAUACCACACUUUCAGUGGGUUACAAUCAAUAUGUUUGAUUAGUCCUGCUAAAAGGAAGUGCAUUUGAUCAUGAAUGCUAACCACUUGUCGAAAGCUAGAUAUCAUAACCAUUGAAAAGAAAAGUUAGUGACUUCACAAGCUUAUGACAGUAGCAUCUAUGAUGCCAAAAUUUCAAUUAUACCUAAGAAGAAUUAUCUUUGGACUAUUGGAUCAAUAUAGAUAAUCUAUCUUAUUAGGUUUGUUGUGAAGAUAACACUUUCUGGAAAAAAAUAAAAUAAAAUAAAAUUUUGAAUUGGUAUUUAGCAGAGGGAAAAUAGCAUGAUAAUAUCAUUAUUCAAGACAUAAUUAAUCCUGAGAUAAUGGUGAGUUGGUGGCCAACCUAGACUUGGUUGCUUCUUAUCUAUCAAAUGAGUAGCUAGUUCACAGUUCCCACAUCAUUUUGAAUCCUUUUGGUCUUGUUAGAUAAAAAUAUGAAAAAUGCCUUUCAGUUAGGAUUAGACAGAUAACCAAAAAAAAAAAAAAAAAGGUUAGGAUUAGACUUCUUCUUUAGUGUGCCUACUAUAUACUAAUAUACUAUCAGGACCACAUAUGAUAAUUGGCCAGUAGAAUAUCAAAGACUACUAGUAGCAGACGGUCCAUAUCACUGGUAUCGAACAUUAAUCCGACUGAGGAUUAUCAAUUAUACCAUGCAAGAUUUCUGUUAUUUCACCCUCACUCGACAUUGUAUUUCAAGGGAACAUAUUCACUCCCAUGCACAAUGGGAAAGCUUUGAGGCAGUGUCUUGGUUUGAGAAGAUUAUGCAGCUAUGGGAAACAACUUGAUUACAUAAGAAAUGGAUCUCUCAAAGAGUUGAACUGCAUUUUUGUUCCUGACUUCACGCACUCUGCAUCUCUGUUGUAUGAAAUAGAGAAAAUUCAGCUGAGAGACCAAUUGACCAUUUCAAUAUGUACUAUGUAGUUAGUUAUUAAACAAAGUCAAUAGUUCCGAGUUCAGCCACUAGAAAUCCCAUCAUUUCUUCCUCUUUAGAAAAUGGUUACUACUACAAGUUGAAAUGUAAUACACAAUUCUAAAACUAAAACAAAAUUUGUUACUAAUAUAAGUUGGUUUCCCUAGAAUCAAUAAAACAUGACCCUAGUCCCCAACACACAAAGGUGAAAUUGUUUGAUGAAAUGCCGCAAUGAGUUUGUUUUACAAGGAGUAGUUUUUGUCGUUGGUGACAGAUGAAAAAGUCAGAAACAAAUCACGCGGGACUGCUUGUUUUAUUGCCUAAGAAAUGUCAAUACUCAAUACUAUUACUAAUGUGUGUAUUGUAUGACAUACACAUCUGACAUACACACACACACACACGUAAAUAUUGAGCAAGUAAUAACUCAAUAAUAUAAUAAAUUUAAAACACAAUUACUCACUUAUCUUCUUCAUCAAUUCAUCGUAAUCAAUUUUAUUAUUAUUAUUAUUAUUAGUAUUAGUAUUAAAUAAAGUAUUAAAAGCAGAAAAGAUAGAAAGUGAAUCCUUAAAUUAAUUUAGAUUUAUUAUUAUUUUUUUUUUAAAAAACACUUAUUUCAUCUGUAGUCUGUAGAUAUAGUAUUUGAUUUCAUUAAAAUUUAAUAGAGAGAGAGAGAGAGAGAGAGAGAGAGCUUCAGAGAGUGCUCUGCCUCUUGCCCUCUUCUGCUUGCCUCAUCAAGUGAUCAGUGUUGCGUUUCAUCACAUUAGUCAUCAGUGUACGAAAAACACAAAAAGAAAUACAGAAAAGGGGUAAGAAAGAAGCUUGGUUGGAAUGAUGUUGUUCUUCAAGAAAUCGUCUUCAAACAUUCAUUUUUUAGCUACCCAUUAAUACAAUUCAUUCAUGGCUGAAGAUCUCUGCUUUCUUAACAAGGUUCUCUUUCUUCUUCCUUCCUUCUUUUUCUUACAAAUAAAGUUCUAAACUUGAUAACUUUCUCUCAAAAUUUCUUCUUUUUGUUGAUUAUCUUGGAUAGAUUCGAUAUAAAUUUUUGAUAUUUCAUGAAUUUCUUUCAUUAAGUGAUUAUGGAUUUUAGAUUUUCAUCUGAUUCUUUUUACAUUUGCAUUACUUUGGUUUUGAAAUUUCAUAGCUCAAACCUUUCCCUUUUUAAAUAUCUGAACAGGAACAAACCCCACAUUCCCCCCUUCUCUUUCCUCAAACCCCACAUCUUUUUUUGCUUAAUUUUGUUUAAUGUAGUCGUUAAUUUGUCGUUUUACAGCUUGCAUUCAUCACCACAACCUUUCAAACCUUCUUUUCUCUCCAUUUUUAUAAUCUUUUCUUUGCAACUUUUGUUAUCAUUUUAGUACAUUUAUAUAUAACAUUGUGUUAUAUGUUGUGGAGUCUGAUCUGGUUCUGUAAAACUGCGCAUCAUGCUUGGGUAUACCUUGUUUAGAUAUGAAAGAACCUAUAACUCUCGCCUGUCCCCUUUCAACCUUUCACCCCCUUUUGAUCUCAUAUGUUGGAAGGACCUUGAUAGGUUGCUUAAAUCACCUCGUCGCACUAGCCCAUAUAUGGUUUAGUAGGUUUUUAUAGGUCACUUUGAUCUGACAUUCUUCCAUUCUCAUUUCAUCAUAAGGUGAUUAAUGUUAUUGAUAAUCUGUGUAAUAUUUGAAUCACAGGAUUGCUUCGCCUUAAAGUCGCCUAAGAAGUCUCCAAUAGUAUUGCGGACAGUCGUCUUAGUAUUCUCCAUGCUAUGUGGUGUUUAUAUAUUUUCCAUCUGUUUAAAGCAAAUCAGUGCCUAUAGAAAGCCCAACAAGUUCGUAGAUGUCCAAGUACUUGGUCAGCCUUGUCAUGCUUCUGGUAUCGAACAGUGGGAAAUCCCCUAUGUGCAUUUCCCCAAACCCCAUACGUAUAGCAGGUAAAUUGAUCAAAGGGGCCAUUAAUUCCAUUGUUAGUGUUUUUUUCGUAUUUGAAUUUUGUCUGCAUUUUAAUUUACUUGAAUUAUGUGUGGAUGUUUUAAUAGGAAUGAAUGUGCGUGCAAUCCUGUCAGAUUCUUUGCAAUCCUAUCAAUGCAGAGAUCGGGGAGUGGAUGGUUUGAGACACUGUUAAACAGUCAUAUCAAUGUAAGCUCAAAUGGAGAGAUCUUCUCUGUUAAAGAUAGGAGGAGUAAUAUUUCGACAAUCACAAGCACUUUGGAUAAAGUUUAUAACCUUGAUUGGUUGAAUAGUGCUUCCAAGAAUGAAUGUUCGGCUGCCGUUGGUUUCAAAUGGAUGCUCAAUCAGGUACAAUGUUCUCAAUUUUGUUUUUCUCUUCAGGCGUGAAUGGUAUGAAAUUCAUUAUGUACCUUGAGUUAGUUUUGUUUAUGUAAAAGAUGUAGCCUUCCUCUUCAUCAACUGACCAUUUUUUACCUAUCAUAAUCGCAAUUUCUCGAUCUUCUGUUAGCAAUGUUCUUUCUUUUCAUCUCUGUCUUCCUAUCAAAAUUUACUUUUGAGUCUAAAUGAAGAAACAAUUUUGAUCUGUUAAUAAAAUUCUACUCUUAUCCAGUAUUGCAUAAGAAAUGAUGAAGUUUAGUCAAAGUUUGGACUUUGUUAUUUAAAUGGAGAAAAUAAAGGUAAACUGUCAUUAACCUAUAUAUCUCAUGAUAGCCACUAACAUUUUUGCAGGCAAGGAGAACGAUUAAAAUCUAUUUAAUUGUCCAUGUCUCAAUGUCAAGGAGUGGAGUCACAGAGUGACUAGUCAAGAAUACUUGUCUACCACCAUAAUUCACAUAUACAACCAUUUUUUGUUCUCUUGUCAUCGGGAAAAACCUUCUGUUCUCAAUCAGUGAAAAGAAAGAAACAAAAUUGUAAGCUCUUGUGAACAGCGCUCUUUUCUUCACAUCUGUGUCACACACUCACACUGUCAGCUAGGAAAAUGAACUUACAUUCAAAUGAGGAUCUGGGUCUGUGAACAGAACACACAGUUUUCUUUAUUAAAAUACUCUUGUUGUGGGAAUACUAUAAUUAGACAAAGAUAAAUCAUGGAUGGUCUGUUAUCUCAAUUUAAGGUGUUAUAACUAACACAAUUGUUGGCUCCACUUAGCUCGGUCAUCCUUUUCCCCACCUCAAAGCAAUGAUUCAUUCCCUUGCAACAUGCAAGGUACUAACAUAACCUUUAUGUUCUGCAAUCACAAUAUCAUAGUUCUCCAGUAUACCAUGUCAACCCUCUAACCCUAAGAGAGAACAACCAAUUGUCCUCAGAUUACGUUUGGUGAAAAGUUAUUGGUACUCGCUAUCUUGAGUAAGGCAUUGUGGGAUUGGAUUGAUAUAUAAUUCUUCAAAGUAGGACUCCCAACAGCCUAAACAGAGAACUGCCUAUCUCUUUGUAUCUCAUCCCUUCCACGGUUCCACCUGUAAAAUGGGCAUGAAUCCUCAAGCACUACAGAAGAAGCAACAAUCUACCUCAGCCAUCCCAUGAUGCUUAUCUAUAAAGUAAUGUUGGAAAUAACUUCUACAUGUGGACAGAUUUGGUCACUUUAGGAUGACAAUCCUGAAAAGUUCGUGUGCACUGAAAACAUGCUAUAACCUACUUUGUUGGUGUCCUUGGUAUGCUAUAGUGGUAAUUAUUGAUAUAAUCAUAUAAACCUUUUGAUCAUAUGAGAGGGCAGAUUGUUAGAAAAUUGUGUUAUUUUUUAUAGGUUACAUUAGGCACUAAAAUUUAAAACGCAAUACUGCCUGUUGAUGCUUUGUGCAUCAUCAUUGGAUUCAUUGGAAUGAUUUUACGGUAAACUUGACAAGAGGUAAUUGAUAGUUACAUUUUCUUUAUUUUAUGAAAAUUCUUCUUAUGAAUGAAUAUUCUAGGGCAGACUCAUGCUUGUUUUGCUGUAGUCCUUCUUGGCUCUAAUAUCAUAUAUGCUAUUGGAUUAUAAAUGGGAAUUUAUUAUUUCCCAUUUUUUACCCUCUUUAUAAAUGGAAGUACUUUCAUACAGCUUAUGCUAAUAUAUGUUCAUGAUUAAUAUAUGAUAUAUUGUCAUGGAAAAUGCAGGGUUUGAUGGAUCAUCACGAUGAGAUAGUGGAGUACUUUAAUCGGAGGGGUGUCUUUACUAUAUUUCUGUUCCGAAGAAAUUUACUGCGCAGAAUGAUUUCAGUCCUUGCUAAUACUUAUGAUCGAGAUGCUAAGCUAUUAAAUGGUACCCACAAGUCACAUGUGCAUUCACCAGAUGAGGUACUUCGUCUUUCUUGUGCUUCCCCAAUCUUUAUACAUGCUUAUGCUCGAAAACAUAACAAAGACACGUACAAAUUAAAAACCUUGAUCACUGACGUGCAGGCUGAGAUACUUGCGAGAUACAAACCUACAAUUAAUUCUACAUUGUUGAUACCUAACCUGAAGCAUGAAGAAGCCAAAAUAGCUAAAGCAUUAGAGUACUUCAAGACCACCCGUCACAUUGUUCUUUACUAUGAAGAUCUUGUUAACAACCGCACUGUAAGUUGUCUGCUAUUUUACUGGCCCUUAAUCAGUCAUUAAAAGAAAGAGGUCACUUUCAUAUGGUGCACAGUGCUUAAUGUUCGUCUUGUUUGCAGAAACUGAUGGAUGUCCAAGAGUUUUUGAGGUUACCACAAAGGGACCUGAAGAGCCGACAGGUCAAGAUCCACAAGGCACCAAUAUCAGAUCAAAUAGAGAACUGGAAUGAUGUCAAUAGCACAUUAAAGGGAACACAAUAUGAAAGCUUCCUUCAAUAGGACUAGCAAAUUAACUCCCUGCAGUUGGAAAGAUGUACAUAACACCUUCAACUCAAUUUUGUCUUUCUGAGAGUUAGGGUUGAAAUUUUGGUUGGCUGCAGGGCAGGCACAAUACCUUUGUUCUUUUUUUAUUUUUUUUAUUUUUUCUUUGUUUUUUGGGUGUUUCUCAUGAUUGACACUUGUAUAUCCUAAGUUAAUGUAUCAUCGGUCGAGAUCAGGAUCCCAAGCUUUCAGUUAAGUUUCUGCAGUGUUCAUAUGAUAUAUAUUCAUUUUUUUUCAUUGCAUAUUCUGAACUAAUACAUCUUUUUCUGGGAAGGCUGAGUAUUGCUCAUAAAGCAACUGUCCUACCGUAAAAGUUUAAAAUGCGGAUUUAUGUUUUUCAUGUUCAGAGCUAUCAGCUAUGAAUAUGGAAUUAUAAAUGAAUGCAAAACGCUGAAACUAAAUCAUACAAAAACUGAGGGGAUUGCAUUAUGACAUUAUGCGCGACACUGCCAAGAAGUACAAGUUUAUUUCUUGAAUAAGAAAACAAGAACAGGAGCCAAUGGCCUAUUAACCAUUUCAAACUUAGAACAAACCCAACUCUCAACAGGUAAUCCAGAAGCAAAAGCUAGUACUGUUUCAUACUCUUCCUUUCCACCAGAAUGCCCAACAUAAACCAAUACACUUAUAAGCCCUCCACUUCCCACAAUUCUACUUGCAGCUUGCAAUGCUUCCAAAGUCCUUUCUGGAACAGUAAUUAUAGACUUAUCACCUCCAGGAAGAUAACCUAAGUUAAAACAAACAAGUUUAACAAAACUCCCCUUUUCAACAAUAUCUUCCAUUCUACUGUGACAAAGUAAAAACAACUCAACAAUCUCUUUCAUCUUCUUGUUUUCAUCUGCAUUAGGGUAUGAUGCAUUCAGUAAUGAAGUUGUGUUUUCUAUAGCAGAUUUCUGAAUGUCGAGACCAUAAACACUACCACCACCCUUACCAUUACCAAAAACCAUUUUGAUAAGUGCUAAGGUGUCAUGACCAUUACCACAUGUAGCAUCUAUAACUAUAUCUCCUUUUUGGACUAUUUGUUGCCAAACUGAAUGAGCUACUUGUAUUGCUUUCUUUUCUCCUUUUAUAAAAUCUAAUAAAGAGAAUGAAGAUUUUGUUUGUUGGUGAUGAAAUGAUUUCAUGGUUAUUUUUUGGGAAGAUGGGAAGCAAGUUGUUGUUGGUGUGGUAUUUGUAAAUGGGUUGAAGUUCCUGCGAGAGAGAAAAACAAGUGGGGUUUGCUUGUUAAGUAGGGAAAAUCACAACAUUUUGUAGAUUAAUUGGUACUCAAUUGCAAUGGGGUGAAGAGAGAGAGAGAGCAAAGAAAAGAGAAACCAGAGCAAAGGCAGAAUGGGUAAAAUAAAACGGACUCAAACCGGCCCGACCCAAUUGCAAUGGGGUUGGCUCGCAGCUCGCGCUCUCAGAGAUACCUAUAUUUCAGAUUGAAUCUGACUUGGCUUUUGUGGUUAAGGACUUAAGGUUGUGCAAAAGUCCUCUGCUGCUUGGUAUCGGUAAAUAACCUGCAGACUUUUCUGUCAAGGGUGUAAUGUAUGUUUUCAGCAUGUUUUAUGGCAGAGUAAACAACCUGCAGACUUGUUAGCCAAAAAGGCAUUAUCAGGAUCUUUGUACUAAUAGCUGGUUUUUAACUUCUGACACUGAGUUAGGAUAUCUUGUGUAUCUUAAAUUCUUAAUAACCUUUCUAGUGUUUAUACUUAGAUAUGGUUGAUAUUAUAGUGAUAUACUACUAGAACAGACAUCUGCUGCAAUCCAGUUGUAUUAGGCCAAUAGAUAACUUAGUUCAGAUGAUCAAACUAGUUUUGAAAUUCGAUGACAUAUGAUUGCAUUAACACACUUCUGAAUUACUCCACAUCUGCACAUAAGUUAUAAGCUAAAAUAUGAAUUACUCCAUCUCAAAGAUUCAAACAAAGAUCUGAGUUGACUGAAACCAAAAGGCACAGGGGUAUGUAAGGUUAUUUUGCUUCAAAUAAACACACACCUAUGAAAACUAUUUGGCAUUGACUCAAUUCUUGUCCUGCAAAUCUGAUAAUAAUUCAUAAAAAUUGAAGCAAGAAGAUAUACAAAUUAUUGUGCACUCGAACAUAAAGCAUAUGCUUGCACCGCAUACUGGUAUUAUUUGUUUCUGCUACCUACCUCCAUGAAUGAAAAAAAAACUGUUUUUGUUUUCUUUCUAGGGUCACAGAAAACAAAAAUAGAACUAUAAUUUUCAUUCACACCACAAAACAAAAUUCCAAAACAUACCAAGAAGAUUCAUAUUGCCAAAUUUUAUAAACAUAAUGCAUAGUUUAGAUCUAAAACAAAAAGAAAAAAGUAGAUAAAUAGAUAGAUUUAUAAGUUUGCUUAUGGAUCCUUAGAAGAGGCAUCAUCAUCAUCAUCUAUUGACCAAGAAGUAGUAGCUUCACAAGGAACAUGAAAUUCUCUGUCUAAAAAAUGUUGACAAUUUUCUUUCAUCAGUGCAUGUGCAUCAAUCUGAGCCUGCUGGGAUUCUGCUUCUUCGUUCUCAGCGAUUUCCUUCUUUAAUUUACUGAGAUAUGGCUCACGUUCUUUGUUUCUCCGUCGCAGACGUCCAGGUAUACCUCGACUCACACAAUCAAAGCCAUAUCUGUCAAGCCGAUAGAAAUUUCAUUGUUGCUGAAAGGGUCCCAUUUCUUCUUUCUCUACUUUAAGCAGUGGUGCAAAAAAACCAUAAUUAAGGAGUCGAUCAUGACCUACACCUACACCUACACAAGAGGAGGAGGAGGAGGAGGAAGAAGAAGAGACGACGAAGAUUCUUCGAGCAGCUGAUGAUCUCAUUGCAGAAAACAUGGUUUGUUUUUGUUGUAUUAGGGUUUCAAAGUUAGGGUUUCAAAGUGCAGAACAAGAACAGAGGAAACAUGCAGAAGCUGAGAGAGAAAGCCAGAAAACCACAGCAAAAGGGUAGAAAAAAUAAACUAAAACGGACCCAAACUGAACCGAGCCAUACUGGUCACUAGGUUUUUUUUUUUCAUUCUUUAUCCAGGUUUGCACAGCAUUUUGGUGUCAAUAGACUGAUAAAGUGGGUUGCAUUGUCGUGGAUACUGUAGGGGUCAAACAAUGCAUAUAUUUUACUGUAGGGGUCAAACAAUGCAUAUACUUCUCAAUUCUUUCGACAGGGAUAUUGGUGCAGUUUCCCAUGCAAUUUGAUUGAAAAUAUUUCAGAACUUGAGCAAAGCAUGAAAAGGUAAUGCAUAGAAGAAAAUUAACUCAAGACGCUAUACAAUCAGAUGAGACAACUCUAUUUUGUGUUAUGGAUAGCAUUAUAACAUUUUAUUCAUACAUUGGUAAUCCAAAAGAAAAAAAAUAAACAUAAAAGUAAAUACAUUAAAAAGAACCUCAUACACUCAUCAGAAAACCAUUUUAGGAUCAUUCAGGUUGUAACCUUGACUGAAAAAUUGGAUUUUCCUAUGUCACUGGCCAGUCGUCUACAGCUUUUUAAAGUAUACUCCAUUACCCUCAACUGUUAACUGACAUGCAGUGGACAGACUGGAAAUUUCCAAAGGCCUCGCUCAUUCAUGGCCAUGAGAUUUGCGGCUCCUUUUUUCCUCGAUACCAGACUGAGAGAAUCUCUGUCGAAGGACUUGAAAGACAUCUUCUAAUUUCACAUCUUUAUUUUUCAGUAGGACCAUGCUAUGGAAUAAUAAAUCUGCCGCCUCAGCAGCUGUACGGGAUUGGUCCUCGUUCUCCUCCAAUGUUCGACAUAACUCGUCUGCCUCUUCUCUGUAAAGUUAUAGAACAGACAAAAAAACCAUAAGGAUUCAAGUGAGUCUUUGUCGGAGGGUUUUAUACGCGUACGAAUUAAAGAAACCAGUAAAGAAGACAGAUAAUCCCUACCAUAUGAGUAGAUUUAGACCAAGUUAUUAUGAGUACAUUGUAUUUUGUAGUGUGGUACUCUCCUCACCAUGGAAAUGAGUAACAGCUACUGUGCAUGUGGGCAUGUUCAAGACUCAAGCAUUUCAUUAGAGCAAUUUUCUAUACAGUAACAUAACAUUUAUAACUCAAUGAUGCAAGCAAAUUUUACUUCCUCAACAUAUGGUAAUUUUGUUCAAACUUUUCCAUUUCAAACUUUUGUAGCAAACCCUUACAAACACGUAUAGACCCUACCCAACAACUGAUAUUUAUAGUGCGAAAUUUGACCAAUUACUUGACUGUUUUUUUCCAACAUUGAUCAAAUAAAUCUCAAAUAAUUCCUUACCAAAUUUUUACUGUAUUCCAAAUUGCAAACAAGGGUUCAGUCUGCCAAUUCUUAAAAUCAUAAACAAAAUAUAAAGCAGGAUCCUUAGAUCUAUUUAUAUCCAAAUAUCUAGUAGAAGGAAUAUUGAACAUUUUAGUCUCCUAAAAAGGAAAAUCCCAGUCGAAGAUAUUGAUAUUGUUAAUGAAACAGUGCCACUUUACUGACAGCACAGCCUUGUGAACUAUGAAGGUAGAAGUACCGUAGAACUUGUAUGAACUCAACUAAUAUUUGCUGCAUUUUUACUGUAACUAACAAACUAAACAAAUACUAUUUAAACAAUUGGGUACCGGAUUUUUGAGCACAGCAACUUCUGGUCAAGCAAUAGCUUCUUUGUCCACGACGGUUUUCCAUUUUCAAUUGCUCCAAUUUCAGCUUUACGUUGAGAUAUUGUUGACUCUAAUUCGUAUAAAGUUGUCAAUGCCAACCUCUUUCCAUCUACCUGCCAUCAAUACACAAUGAAGUUAAAAUAAGCAUCAACAAUAUUUUCCCUCAGGUGAAAUUGACUCAUAUAAUGGAAAAACAUUAGUGGAUCUUCAGAUUUUUUCAACCUCGGGAUGUUUAAGAAGAUCAUCGACUGAAGAAUAGUAGCAAGUUUCUUCCCCUGUGUGGCAAGUGGGUCCAUCAGGCUUGCCGAGGUAUAUUAUCUGACACACAAAAAUACCACUAUUAAAAAAACAAGCUGAAGUAAGCCUAAGUUCUAAUGAAAAUGUCAGAGAUACAUACAGAAUCACGAUCGCAAUCAAGAAAAAUGUCGGUGACAUUUAUAAAAUUACUGGACGUCUCCCCCUUUGUCCACAAUGAUGAUCGCGAGCGACUAUAAAAUGUUGCUUUACGAGAUGAAAUGGUGGCAGCAAGUGCCUCUCUGUUUGCAAAGGCUUGCAUCAGGAUGGCUCCCGUGUCUACAUGUUGAGCAAUUGCAACUGUCAAACCUUUGUCAUCCCAUUUGACGCUAUUCAACAAUGUUUCCACCUAGAAUUAUAGCCCCACAAGAGAAAUAGACCACCUCAUAUAACAAACUGAAAAGAAAAUGCCAAUGAAAUAAGGACUAACCGUUAUAGUAGUACCUAAUCUUAUAAAUGGUCUAAACAUGCCAAAGUUUAAUGCAGUUACACAUGCUAAGUGUCUACAUUACCAGAAUUUACGUAUAUAACUCUUUAAGAAAAUUAAUUAAGAAAAAGAUAAAAUUCAAUCGUGAAAGGUAGUUUGGCAUCCCUCAUGUUUUCCAUCAAUGACAAAAAUGUAAAGAUAUAAUAUCCAGCUAUAGCUUGAAUGAUCACAAAGUAAAAAGAUCAUCAUGUAAUACUGGAAACCAAAAAGAGACAUCCAACAUUUGAAUGAAAACUCAUCCAUCAAUUUUCUUUCCCUUUUCUUACUUUCCCAGACAUGUAAAGGUCCCCAUUAUUUGGCAGACAAAAUCUACAACAGAGACCUGGACUAUGUCUGGUUUCUCAAUAAAAAAUUGGUUGUUUCUAAUUCUAAUCUAUGCGUACUAAUAAAUUGGGAUAUUGCACAUGGACACUACAAUUACUGCAAGCAAUUCAGAUCAAAAUGUAUUAAAACUAUUCUUCAAUUGUAUAAAACAAAUGUCGCGCAAAGGCAAAUUUCAUUCAUCAAAAGGGAUACAACUACAAGAUGUAGAUAAUCAAGCGCAACGUUGGAAACCAUCAAAAAGAAAUCCAACAUAGGAAUGAAAAUCAUUUCUAUUCCAGACAUGUAAAGGUUCCUAUUAUUUUGUAGACAAGUCUACAAUAGAUACCUGGACUAUGUCUGGUUUCUUAUAAAAAUCGAAAAAAAUGGCGAAAAAAAAAAAUCUUAGUUCAAACAACAAAUGAAGAGAGAGAAAGAAGUGUACCUUUUGUGAAUCAACAAUGGGAAUUACUGAAGCUUUGACAACAAGUCCUUUAAACUUAUUUUGGCUAAAGAAUCUAAUCGAAGGUGAUGGUAAUGGUGAAGAAAGGUUGAUGAACUUAAGAGAUGAUUGAAAACUACUUCGAUUUGAACCAAUUGAUGAUGAUAAUGAUGAAAAACCAUUAAAUUGUAGAAUUGACAUGGUUAUUGUUGUGAAGAAUUCACAAUUGAGAAAAUCAGAAAACCUCACUCUUUUUUUUUUUUUUUAGGGUUUCAGUAUCAAAUUAGACUGUCAAGUGUAAACAAAAAUAGAACUGAGCUGGGUUUGUUAGUUGGGUUGGGCUAAUUUCAUUUGAAAUGAUUUCCGUAGUUUGUGGGAUCAAGCUAUUAGAAUCGGUCCAUACAAAAUUUAACACAUUCAGUCCAAAGCCCAAUCAUGUAAAAAAAAAAAAAAUUAUUUUUAUUUUUAUUAUUUUUUUUUUUAUUGGCAAGCAGGGUUGUUGUCUUGUUGACGGCCCUACUACCCCUUUAGGGCAAUCCCAAUCGUAGGGCAUUUGAGAAGGGCGUUUGAGAAGGGCGGUAGUAUGAAAUGCCCUUUCAGCCAAAAUUCCUUCCCCAAUAGAACGGUGGGUCAAAUAUUCAAAGGUGGUUAGAAGUUCCAAUGGCAUUUGAGAGGGGAAUAGAGUGCCAUCCAAAAUGUCAUGUUAAUUGCAUAAGACGGAACACAAUGUUCAAGUUCAACACUUUUUCGGAACUCACAGUUCCGUCUUAUACACUUUAUCUCAUAUGGAACUUGAAGUUUCGUCUUAUACACUUAAAAAAAAAAACGGAAUACAGAGUUUCGUCUUAUACACUUUAAAAAAAAAACGGAAUACAGAGUUUCGUCUUAUAUUUAGUAAAAUUACCGGAACUCAAAGUUCCGUCUUAUAAGUCAUUUAAUUUUCUUAAACUGACAUUUCCAAAUUUUUCCAUUGGCACCCCUUAGCAUAGGGUUUUGACUACCAUGCAUAGAGAGUGAUUUUGAAAGUGGUUUUGCUUAUGUGGCACCUACAUGGAGGGCACCAAACUGCCCUCACAUUGGGAUUGCUCUUAUUAAAAUAAAAUAAAAAUAGACAGAAUAGAUAUUAAAACUAUUAAAAUAAAAUAAAAAUAGACAGAAUAGAUAUUAAAACUAUCUUUAAUUUAAUAACUAAAAAGUUUAGUCUCUAUCUAAUUUUGAUUUUAAAAAAAAUCGAGAAAAAACAACUAAAAUAUUGGCGAAAAUUUUGAAUAUAUACAAAAUCUUCCACAAAAAUCUAUCUCUUCUUUCUUGUUUGAUCUCAAGAUGGGUGCUAUGAAUCAACAACUUCAAGUUUUGAUUCUCGCUGGCCCAUACUAUUGGGUUAUUUGCUUGAAAGAGUUUUGUUACCAUAAUGGACAUGUUCGACAUUGUAAAAGCUCACAUUCCAAAAAAAAAAGAUUGCAUGUGUUAUGUGUGGGGUGAGUUGUAAUGACUUGGAUUCAUUGGUGGCACAUUUCUUCUGCUCACGUGAACCGUGUUCGUGCAACAAAGUGUAGGUUAUGUGAGGAAAGUUUAGCAAAUUUCGAAGUUGUUCUUGCGCAAGCGUCAUUUGGAAAAGAACUUUUGAAGCAUUGGUUCUUGAUGGUUUGAUGAUAUUUUUGCUGGUGAAAAAUUUAUGGAGUGGUAGUUUUUCUAGGAUUAAGACUUAAUCACACUCUGGUGCUACUUUUAGUUUGUUAUCACAUAUUUAAUAUGUGGUUGGAAACCAUAUGAACAUAAUCCAUUUCAAUAAAAAAAAAAGUUUUUAACUAUUAUGUUCAACUAUAGAUCGAUUGAACGUAUUCAUUAAGUCACGAAGAAUUCAAUUAAAGUUUAAUUAUACAAAGCUUUGGCAAAACUCAAUUGAAAAAACAAAAGUAAUUUUUUAUUUGGGAAGAGUGUUGGAAGUCUAGGAAAACAUCAAAAUGAAGUAUCUAUACCAAGAAUAUCAUUGUUUUUUUGGGUUUAAGUAUUGUUUCAAUCGAAUUUUACACCAAUGUGAUGUAGAAUCAAGAAGAAACCCCUAAUACUAUGAUGUAAGGAAAUUGAGAAGAUGAAGAUGAAGGAAUAGGGUUUUGGUGAUUGAUUAUGGCUGCACUAAGUUGUUUCUUAGUUGCCUACAUAUCCAUAAGAAAGAUGAAAUCAAGCCUUUUAUAACGUACUUCAAUGGUAGAGUUUGAUUAGGGUUAGGAUGUAAUCCAGUGAUCCCUAAUGUAUUGCAGUGUUGUAGUCCUAUGCAUUUUGACCAUAUAAUGACAAGAUAAUGUACCUCAUGUCCUAUUAUCUUGAAGACAUGAGUUGUAGAUAUUUAGACAUUCUGUUGGAUUAGGUUAAGGAAAUCUCUACAAAGAUGUAGAAUUACCAUAUUAACCUUAUUGUUAAAAAAAAAAAAAAAAAAAACUUAAUUAAUAAAGCCCAUGAUUGAUAUUGAAUUACCAUAUAAUGGACUUAAAUUGAUAAAGCCCAUGAUUGAUAUUGAAUGUACUAACGGACCUAAGCCUUAUUACUAAUUGAAUUGAGUUUAGGCUCUUAUUGAUUAUAGUCUUGGGUUUUGACUUGUAAUUGACUUGGGGUUGAGCCCGUUAAGAGGGGUUAACACAUCUCCCCCUCUUUAGCCGAGGGGUGAAACCAAUUGGGUAAAUAAGAAGAGAAAAAAAAAAAAAAACAAAUGAGUGUAAAAGGGAGAAAACAAAAAUGCGGAGAGAAAAGGCAAAUGUACGAAAAUAAAAUUAUUGAAAAAAAAAAUGGAAAUGAUCUGGAGCAAGGAUGAAAACCCAAAUAUAGAAAAAAAAAAUACAAUCCAAAUUAUAACACAUGAGUUUGGGCAAAAAUGGAAGUGGCCAUGCACACAUGCAUAUGGGCAAAAGAAUGGGUAAAAUCAAUAAUGGGCCAGUAUGCUACGUGAAAGAGAAAGACAAAUCGGCAAGCAAAGGUAAGAGAAACAUAAUGAAUGUUUGUAAACAUUGGAAACCAUGUUAAUGGGUAACGAAGAAUUGUUGGAAUAUAGAAAUCCAUGAUAAUGAGAGUGUGGGGUGAUGAAUUCUUAACUAAGAAAGUGUGGGUAAUAGUAAAUAAUGAAUAAGCUAUAAAAAUCCAAAAUUAUAAGUUGCCUAGCAAAUGUUUCAUGAAAUUCCAAAGAGAAUGUGUAAUGUAAAAUAUGAAGAAUAGAUUAAUAAGGACUUUGACAUGUGUUUACAAAUAGUUGCAAGGAAGGAAUACACUUGUAUUAUGAUUAACAUUAUGUUGUUGUAUGUAGGUAUUGACAAGGAUACAAGAUGCCAAAAAAGGUAGCAAAUGCGAAGAGUAAUAAGGAUGAGAUCAGAGGAGUAAAGAAAAAAUAAAAAGGCAAAAGAAAAGAGAGCCACUACCGCUGAAAAAAGCCAAACAAUAUCGAUGGUCAAAAGGAGGAGCUUUUCGACAUUGUAAAGAGUCUCAAAGCAUAACAAAAAUUGGGAUCCGGACUAAAUUCAAACUCCAAGAGUUUGAAGUGAUGAAUAAUGGGGGUAAAAGAUAACUUGCUCCAAAUACGAAUAGAGAGAGAGCUCUUCAUUCAAAUUCAAGUAGAUCUUUCUAAGGUAUUCGAUUUCUUCUUAAUAUUAACUUUAAUUCUUGGAUUUAGUUAUUUGAUAGAUUCAUAUGUAGAUCAUCAUCAUCUUAUUUAAUUUACUUACUAAUGUUAUUUAAAAUUAGGGUUUUGUGGUGUUCUUCAUUGAAAUUUUCACUAAAUUUGUUUCAUUUUGGUAUUUUAUCUUUAAAACAACUUUGAAAUACUAUUCUUACUUGAUGGAAAUAUUAUAGCUUGUGGAGAGCAUUUCAAACUCCAUUCUUAAAGUUCAUUUCAAAUUUCAUCUGUCGUAUAUGGCGCCUAUAUGGAGGGCACCAUACUACCCUUGUAUUGGGAUUGCUCUUAUGCUAAUGUGCUUUGAUUAAAGGGAAGAAAUAUUCUUCAAAAGAUAGAGACUUUGUUCGAUCUGAACCAUUUCAGUAGACCUUAUAUCAUAUAUAUAACAUUGUUUUUCUGAUCAAUAUAAAACUGUGAACAUAUCAUUUCCCAAAAUGUUAGUAUAUGCUGAUUAGAAAUCACAAUUCUUUUUUCAAGAAAUAUUUAUAAUUUCCCUAAUUUUUUAUAAUUGAUUUGGGUAAUCACGGUUGGGGUUAACUGGUGAGAUAGUAGCACUCUACCAAAGAGAAUGAACUUAGUAAAAGCGUAGAUAAUCAAAUACAAUUAAGCCUUACUUUUGCUGACAAUUUUUGUUGUAUUUUCCUAGCAGAUUCGGUUUGUGGGUUCUGAAUAUCUUGCAAAAUAGAUUUUGUUCUUGGUUUCUAUAACAUAUGAUGUGAAAAGUUUCUAAAUUGUGAUGUUAGACACUAUCUUCAUAUUUAUUCUACCUAAACAGAAUAAUUUUCUGACUUAUCAAAAUAGAUUUUGUUCUUGGUUUCUAUAACAUAUGUGAAAAGUUUCUACAUUUUUAUGUUAGACACCAUCUUCAUAUUUAUUCAACCCUUCAUAAUGUCUCCACAUAUAUCUGGUGUCUCAGGAUAGUCGCGAAAUGUAUAUGGCUGGAGCUGUAAAAUCAAUUUUAUCACCAUCUUAGCUUUAUUUCUGGCUUUAGCUAGUAUUUUGCUUUCUUCAAAUGGCUUCUUUAGUUUUAGUAAUCGAAAUUAUGUGUGUUUGAUGAGGAUAUUAGUGAACCUUUGAAGACUCCAUUUCUUUCUUUCAGAUUCUGCAAUCUGAAGACAUCACGGACGCCUCCUCCACCAGAUCCAAACGAACCCUCAAAUUUUGCUGAGGCAAUUGUAUCAUGGUAAUUUUUCUAGGAUUAAGACUUAAUCACACUCUAGUGCUACUUUUAGAUUUUUGUUAUCACAGAUUUAAUAUGUGGUUGGAAACCAUAUGAACAUAAUCCAUUUGAAUAAAAAAAAAAAGUUUUUACCCAUUGUGUUCAACUAUAGAUCGAUUGAGCGUAUUCAUUAAGUCACGAAGAAUUCAAUUAAAGUUUAAUUGUACAAAGCUUUGGCAAAACUCAAUUGAAAAAACAAAAGUAAUUUUUUAUUUGGGAAGAGUGUUGGAAGUCUUGGCCUUUUGGCAUUUCUGUUACCAUGGGAUCCUCCUUCUUUAACAUCAGAAAUGCCCUCUUCCUCAAUCUCCCCAGCUCCAGCUGGUCCACCUGGAUUGGGAUCAUCAUCCAAGGCCGCAGGUUGAUGGUUCAUGUCUUCCACAGGCACAUUUUGGCUGUUGGCUGCAUUUUCAAUCACAUUAGGGGGAGCGGGGGAUUGACCUCUUCAGCAACAGGUUGAACAUUACGUCCAGGGAUUGGAUUUUCAUCAACUUCAUUCAGGACAUCUGCAUCUUCAUCAAAGUCUAUCUCCUCAUCUUCAUCAUCAUAUUGGGAAUCACGCUCCUCAUCAUCCCCCCACCCAAGUAUGUUAGACUUGUCUCUACAGUUUGCUUGUGCUAAGGGUGUAUCUACCAUAGAAACACCAAGGCUCACAGAUGUCUCUUACCAGAGCUCCAUCCUCAGUUCUAACCCAGUUCUUAAGUCGAAGGCAGUCAUCACGACGUACCUUCUCUGGAGGUGGAGAGAACACAUUGAAGAACUCAUCUCAAAUCCGGUUAAUGGCACCUGGAAUCAGCAUACUCAAAUCUUGAAGGUCGGUAUGGAAGGAAGGAAAUUCAAUAAAAUGUCGUCGGCACAUAGACCUUUUCACACAGGAGUAAAUUUGAUCAAACCAUAUUGCUUCCAUGACUUGUCUUUCACCAUCAGAACCACCAGAAGAGGAAGAAGAUGAGGAAGCCAUGGAGGUAGCCUAAAGCUUCUUGAGCACAACUCUUGGAUGCCCAACCAACUAUUGAUGAGAGUAAAUUUACUUUUGGCGCUUCAACUUCUAGGAGCUGACUUUAGCUCUGCAGCUUUUGUCUUUAUUGCUAGGUCUGUUGUUUUUUUUGUUUUUGGGUAUUUUUGUUCUUAUACUUAAGACAAUAAUAUUGUCAUUCUUUUGUAGUGAGGUAGGGCCCAGUCCCCCUCACAAGCCCAAAUUCAAAUUUUAAUCACAGGUAGGUGUUCUGGCAAACCCCACCAGGUAUAUCAUGUCCUCAACGUGGAGUUAAGUUGCUUGGAGGGGCGGUCGAUCAGUAUUGAUGCAUCAUUCAUUGGUCAGUAUUGAUGCAUCAUUCAUUGCGGGCCUUAAACAGCCAAGCUAAUGAGCCUACUAGCAGAACUAAAAGACCCACAAUGUGAGUUGGAACUACUACGAGCAUGCAUGGGAUUACCUAAACUUAUCUUCGUUCUUCGUACUUGGCAACCAACUUUUGUUCAGGAAACAGCAGAGUAUUUUGAUUGCAUCCUUCGGGCAACCCUUCAGGGUAUCAUAAUUGCUGAUGGUCUAGGUUUUGGUGACCUUCAGUGGCGCAUAGCAACCAGGGCGUUACGCCUUGGUGGGUUGGGCAUUUAUUGUGCCACAGAUGUCAGUAAGUUUGCCUUCGCAACCUCUCGAUGCCAAACUCAAAGAGCUCCAGGACCACAUACUCCGAGGGUGUGGUACAUUACUACACACAUGGAUGGUGCUUUUGGAUAGUGCAGUUGUUGAGCUAUAACUUUCUCUCCCUGAUUUCGACCUUAGCAUUCUAGCCUCAAGGGCUACCGCCCCCCCCCCCCCCCCAAACCCCAACACACACUGGCGAAAACUUACUACAGGAAGAUUGCUACUGGUAUUGACAGGGAUUUUGAUUUGUCUGCUCGUCAGAGGGCUGUGAUAGAAUGCUUACAGACCAAACAUGCCAAGGACUUCCUUAUUGGUAUUCCUAUGGAAGGGUUAGGACAACGCAUGACAGCAGUGGAGUAUCGUGCCAUUCUCCGGUACCGUCUCAUGAUCCCGUUAUUUACACAUGGGGACUUAUGUCCUGUAUGUAAGAAGAGUCGACUAGACGCUUUUGGGGACCAUUCUGUACACUGUAAGUAUUACUCCGGUUUUAAAUACAGACACGAUCAUGUGCGUGAUAUACUGUAUGAUGUGGUAUGGCGAGCAGAAAUACAGGUAAAUAAAAAGGCUCCGAUCAAUUUUCUUACAGUCCCGUCAGAAGACAGUUCAACACUACGCCUAGCUGAUGUUUUUAUAUAUAGUUGGUUAGAAGGGAAACAUGCAUGUGUUGACAUCACAGGAGCAUCUCCGAUGGUGGGGUUUGGCAAUGAAAAUUUUGAAGUGGGCCAGACAGCCCUUAAUGCAGCUGCAGCUAAGGUACAAAAACACGAGGGAGCAUGUGCAGUGAACCAACAUUGUUUCAUUCCUUUUGCUUUUGACACUUUUGGGUUUGUAGCACCAGAAGCAGUUGAACUUCUCAGGAGGGUACAGAAGGUGAUGAAUAGCAAUGUGAUGACGGCCGGUUCCAAUGAAUAUGUAUUUCGUAGGAUUGGUUUUGCUAUUCAAAAAGGGCUUGCAGCGCAGUUUGUAGCGCGCUUGACCUCUAGCUUUGUGUAAUUCUUCUUUUAUCAAUAAAAUUUAUUUUUUAUUCAAAAAAAAAAAAAAAAAUGUUGGAAGUCUAGGAAAACAUCAAAAUGAAGUAUCUAUACCAAGAAUAUAAUUAUUUUUCUGGGUUUACGUAUUGUUUCAACUGAAUUUUACACCAAUGUGAUGUAGAAUCAAGAAGAAACCCCUAAUGUUAUGAUGUAAGGAAAUAGAGAAGAUGGAAACGAAAGAAUAGGGUUUUAGUGAAUUUUUACACCAAUUCCCAAGAAUUAAGAAAAUUCCAUCAUCAAAUCUUGGAAUAGAGGGUAACUCAAAUUUCCACUUUCAUUUGUUUCUCAAAUUUAGUUUACUUUCUAAUGGUUUCACUAAUAAACAAAAACUCCUUACGACUUUUCUUUUACAAUAAACAAAAAUGUUUGUGCAUUAUUUGAUCAAUUGGGACCGUACAAUCUAACUACCUCAAGAUUAAUCCAAAGGUCAGAUUUCUUGUUUGGUCUCUCAGUCCAAAUAUAUAUUCAGAAUUGAUUAGUGUGAAAUUGUGAAUGGAGGACUUGUUUCUAUGACCUACUUUUUUGUUCUUUGUGGAAUGAUUACUUAGAAAACUCUACCAAUGUAUAUUGCUUGCACAUGGGCAAGGAUUUUGAUGUUCAAUACUACACAAAUGAAGUAGGUUUAUGUUCUUCAUCUGCUUUCUUCAAAGAUACCCCUGCUUCUCAAUGUCCUAUAUAUGUGGAAUAGAAUGUUAUAAGCAGUAGAUUUUACCACCAUAUGUGACAUAUUGAAUGUGAUUAAACCUAUAUAUAUAUAUAAACAUUCAUUAUGAAGUAUUUAAUAUACACUUGAAAACCCAGUUUGGGGAGGAGAAUUUGCCCUAAAGUAUAUAAACCACUUGAAAAUGUAUAUAUAUCAUGCAAAUGUGAGUGGGCAACAUAUCAAAGACGCCUAGGGGGGAAUACAUCAUGCACCCACAACAUGCUUCAUUUUUAAUCAAAUCUCUCAGUUAGUCAUUAUCUUAGGUACACUGUUGUUAGUUGAAUUUUUAGACUAGGAAGCUCUUUUGAGAAUCAUUGACUAACAACACACAAAUUCUUGAGAAAAACAACAACAAAACUUCUUAAUUCAAAUCCCAAAGAAGCAACUCAUCUUAUCACUUGCAUUAGCUUAAGGGCCAGUAAUGUCAUUAUAAUAGUACUUGUCUCCCCUUAAAGUCUUGGUAAAUUUGAACAUCUUGUGAUCUUGAAUCUCGAUCCAAGCAACAAAAUCCAUAAAUCAAGAGUGCAUGUUUUAAUUCAUAUAUAGUGAAAAUUUGUUCUACACUUUCAAAGUGUGUGGAUGUCGAUAUAUAUAGUUAGUUGAUAACAUUUCUCAAAAGAAGGUUUUCCUUUUAAAAUGUUCACUAGAGUACGGAGGGUUGUUUUUAGGCCAAGGGGACCAACAUUCCAAGCUCCAUAUCCUUGAUGUCUAGAUGCAUUAAUGCAUCCACAGUCAAGACCAUUGUGCGCAGUUUCGUCUAUAGGUAUAUUUUUGCAAAAUACUACAUGGCAUGUUCUUGAAUCAUCGAUCAUCACAUAGUGGUCAUCAGGUUAUGUAGAAACAUUUCUUACACGAAGAAGAAGAUCGAAGAACCAGCUUAUUGUUAAUGUUACAGCACUUUGGUUUUGCAUGCUAUUUUCAUACAUGAUUCUCAGAUAUGUGUUUUUGUAUCACAAGCCCUUUUCUAUUGAAAAAGUUUUGCAGCAAGUAAUGAAAAUUACAUGCUUUGCUCUUUAUGUUUUCUUAAAAAGAAAAACAUGCACUAGAAUAGUAGAAUGUCACUAUGUCUCUAUGUGUAAACAUCACAUGCAACCCAAGUUAAUAUGAGCACUAUGUUCUUCUGCCUUAAUGUGCACAAGGGAUGUUCCAAAGCAUACAAAACAAACUAGUAUAAAGACAACAAUUCAUGUGGUUGACAAGACAAAGGAAGCUCUAGUUUUGAAAAUUUGAGAAUGGUUGAGGAAACUACUAUUUAUUUUUGCCUCAAAGUGCAAGCACAUGGCUGGACCUAAUCACCUAUAUAAAUAUAUGCUUAGGUAACAUGAACUUAUUAUUAUUAUCAUCAAGAAAAAGUAAUCACUUAAUUAAACAACAAACUUUUUUUCCCUUAUAAUUAACCUCAUGAAGUUAUUAAUUUCUUUUGGUGUGGAUCAUUUAGUUAUCAUUAUAGUUUCAAUACAUAUAUUGAUAUAUACACAUUGAAUCAUAGUUAAUUAGUGAUUUAAGAAGUUUGCUAGAUACUCUGACAUUGACAGAGUUGAGGACUUGAGGAGAUGUAUAUGCUUUUAAAUGAUGAUUGAGAAUAAGUGAACUAAUUAAUAACAGUUGAUUAUCUCAAAUCACAUGAUCAGAUGAUCACUUCAGAAGAAAAAUAGGUCAGUUUAGAGUAGGUCAAAUGAAAAAAAAAGAAUAGAAAGAAUAUUGGUCUCAUUCAGACACACAGGACAAAAGAUGUUUUCUCUUUUGCUAUUUUUUUUUUUUAUUAAUCCCCAUUUUAAUGAACAAUUUUUUUUUUACCCUAAUUCUGUUCUAUAUAGAUAAUUUUGAACCUAAUUAUUAGAAAAAUAAAGAUGGUAAUUUUCAGGUUUAUGUAACCGAGCGCUGAGUGCACAACUAGGAAAACCCUACACUGUUGGACGAUCGCAAUGGCUAAAUAAAAACAAUAUUUAGUGAUAUAUAUAACACUAAUAUGUAUAAAUUGGAAAACCAAAGCAGGUCCUUAAACUUAAGGACACAUUUUUGAAGAGGUAGACCAUGCACAUUCAUAUUCAAUUGAAUCUAUCUAUCUAUCUAUCUAUCUAUCUACUUUUAAAGGGUCACAUACUCACAUGUAAGGAACUAAUUUGGACCAAUUACAAUAUUUAGAAAUGGACAUGAAGAGAUAUAGUUAUUAAUUCCAUCAAAGAAUAUGUUUUGAAAUGAAACAAAGGUAUCAAUUAAAGCUAAACAUAUUUAAUCACCGUUUCUAAUUAUUCUACCUCUCUUAACCGUCAUUAGAGAAUCUCUUAAUCAUCUAAGAAGUAAGAACUGCUAUAAAUAACAGAGAAACCAGUCUUUCAACUCCCUCUUCCUUUAUCUCUCUCACUCUCAUUCUCUAGCUUAAAACACCUAACAAUGAAUCCAUCAUCAUCUUCUACUUCUUCUAAAGAAAAGAAGAGUAAGAAGAAGCAGCAACAGCAAGACGAAACAACAGUUAAGUUUGUUGGAGUUAGAAGAAGACCAUGGGGAAGAUAUGCAGCAGAAAUAAGAGACCCUUCAACUAAAGAAAGACAUUGGCUUGGAACCUUUGACACUGCUGAAGAAGCUGCUUUAGCUUAUGAUAGAGCAGCUCGGUCCAUGCGAGGUUCUCGAGCACGAACAAACUUCGUGUAUUCUGACAUGCCUUCUGGCUCUUCUGUCACCAACAUAAUUUCCCCUGAUGAAACUUCACAACAUAACAAAACCCACAUUGCUCCUCCUUCACAAAACCAACAAACUAUUCCCCAAUUCUACUUGACAGAGGACUCUGGAAAUGUGUGUGAUUUCUCUGACAGGUACCCUGCCGCAGAGUCAUGGGGUCAGGGUUCAUUCUGUCAACAACAGCAACAACCUGUUUCAAUGGAUAGUGGCUUUGGGUCUCAACAGUUCUAUGAUGGAACAGGGGUACCUUCCUUGGGCUAUGAUGUCUCGGCUAGUUAUGGUUCCAAUUCAGGUUAUGAUAUGGUUCAGGAACUUUGGUCCAAUGAUAAUACUGGAUAUUCGAAUUCUGAGCAACUAUCGACGGCUUUUAACCCCAUAAAAACUAGCUCCUAUUUGGAUUUUGAUUCCAGUGAAUAUGUACACAGUCCACUCUUUGGAAGGAUGCCACCAGUAUCUGAUUUUGCAUCAAACGACAACAACGGAUUUGAUUCAUCAUCGUACUUCUUCUGACACUUGGAGCACUUUCGUUUUCGGGGGACUUUCUUUUUCUUUUUACUCUCUUUGCAUUUGAUGGAGUGUUUAUAAGCAAGGAGUUGGGUUUACAUUUUUUUUUACUUCUAAGUUUCACUACAUUCGGAACUCUGCUGCUGAAACUGGGGACAACAAGGCAAUAUGUCUUCCAGUGGUCACCAAGGGUCAUUCUUCUGGAGAGAUUCCUGAAAUGUUUUCUUCUUUUUUAGAUGUUAUGUUAGCAAGUUUGUUUCCUGUUUGGGGCUGGAGACCAAUUAUGUAUCACAUAAGCAUUCUGCUCAAGUUGUUCUGUUAAAUCAAAUACUGUAAUAUGCAUCCUUCUGUCCCUGUGUGUUGCGCGCUGUUAAACACUAACAACAAUAGUAGUUUUUAGUGCAUAAAAAACAUCCCAGUUGCACAAGGCGCAACGACGUUGAAGCAAUAGUAAUGAACACCUUCAAACAAGGCUAGAGCAGCUAAGACUCCAUUUACCAGACAAUAACAAUAAAACAUUUAGGUACUGCCUCAAAACUGAUGCACAAGAAAUUCCAUUUUUUCCAUCCAGAAAGCUGUUGCCGAACAAGGUAGUGUGGUCUAUUGGUACUGUAUAUCGCAAACCCAGAAGGUGCAUUGCUUUCCAUUAUAAUUUAGCACGCAUGUAACGUUGAUUUAUUUGAGAAAAAAGAAAAUAACAGAUUAACUAAGCAACACAAAACAUUUUCAUUUGCUAAAUGCUACGCUUUUUAUAAUGAAUGACUAAAUUACAAACGAUAUGAUCAAUGAAUUACACUAUCUAUUGUUUAAUUCCGACUCAGUUAUUGUAGUUGUGUGUUGGAUAACAAAAUGGUCUACAAUUCUAACAGUGGCAAGAGGGUCCUGCUGAGCCGCAGAUGCAGUCCACUUGCUUGGAUGCUUUCUGAGAUGGCUCAAUGGAUGUGGUUGUUUUGUUUCCCUCUCGCCAUCCCACUCUGGAUCCAGUUUCCAGUCUUUUGGAACCUACAAAACAGCAUGAAUCAGUCACAUCCCUAAAUGACUAAACUAACCAUUUUUUCUAGUACUACAUGGCCAAACUUGUGGGGUAUCAUGCAUGUUCUACUAGUGUCACCUGGACUCACAACUCAAUGGUCAAUCUAGAAAAUAGAUAAGCAAAGUUUACAAGCUCAAUAAACAAAGGAAGAAGUGAUUUGCUGGGGGGAAUGCAUGUGUCCCUUAAACCAUAGAUGUGGUUUUCUGGGGGGAAUGAUUGAAUGAAGGAAUGACCUGAGCCUCUUCAACCAAACAUCAUAUAGUGUGACUUACAGAUAUGGCGUAAUAAGCAAAUUUAUAUUCUUACCUUGUCCACUGCAAGGGUGAAUACUUCGAGGUCUCCAUCACGGGUUAUGUGGAAGCGGGUGAAUGCCUUGUAAUUUGCAAUGCGUAGAGAAGAGAAGGCUUCAUCAAAGUGCAUGUGGAGCCAAUUGAUGCAAAUGUACAGGUAGCUACCGAACACCAGAGAGACCACUGGAGUUGAAAAAACCCAAAAGUAAAGGAAGACAGCAGCAUAGUAAAUGAUAGCACCACCACGUGAAAGUGACUCCAUUCCAUUCUUGCAAAUGUUACUCCUGGUGACAGCCAUGACCUGAAAAUUUCUCCGCCAUGAAUACUACACUUAACUAAAAACAAUUUCUGAGACUUGAAAAAUAAAUGCAAGAAAGAAUAUGAACACAUUCUCACCUCUGGGACGUCAAACGCAGACAUGAGAUAUUUUAUACAAGCGGGGUAAAGGCCUAAUGUCCACUGUUCAAUACGAGCUCGAAGGCCGGUUGGGUCAGGGAAUUGCUCACUUUCCACCUUUCGAUACCAUUCAUAAAGGGUAUGAUAUCCUGAAAUGGAAUAAACAGCAUUUACCAAUUACCAUUUCGUGGUAGUUCAAGCAACAAACAUCUCCAUGGUAGUCACUUGCAACAAACAUCUCCAUGGUAGUCACUUACCACACCCAACAGUAGGCCAGCAAUCAUUUGGGAUAAUUAUUGCAUCUUGUCUAUAAUGUACUAGUAUUUUUCAAGAUGUUGUAAGAAAAAAAAAAAAUACUUGAAAGGAUAGAUAUAAGAAUACGUUGAUUCCAAAAAAGUGAUAAACGAUAUCUAUUCCAUAUUCUUGGAUAUUUUAGAAAUACUGGUUGAACGCAUGUUUAUCUGUAUAUAUCCCUAACAUAUGGAAUCAGGUUGCAGACAUCCAUCAAGUCCCUAAUAUUUAGAACUUAGAAUAGAUUUUUAGUAGAAAGAAAAGAGAAAACAAAAAGGGGGAAAAAAGGGAAUGUUCUUCACAACUAUUAUUGUCUGACUAUGAAUGUUCUUCAUCAGGUUUCCCCAUAUUUCAUAAUCGACUAAUAGUUCUCCCAAGCAUUCAUAGUCAGACAAUAAUAAAUACAUCAUCUUUCAUAAAGAUAAUUGCCAACAAAUACCUAGAAACUCAGAGUGUUCCAGUAUGUCAAAUCAUUAAAAGGUUCAGUAGGGAUUUGUCAUAACCCAUACUUAAGAUGUCUUCAUCACUUCUGGUCAAAUACAAAUUUGGAAUAAACCUACCGAUCAUAGACUUGGCUGAAAAUACAUGGAUAUCCUCCAGAUAUAUAUUAUUACAGACACAAGACUUAUAGAAUCAUACAAGUUUGACCCUUCAAGAAGAAACAGGACACAAUAACUCAUGAGUCCAGAAAAGAGUCUCAUUUAAAAAACUAUGUCAAAACCUUGUUUCAUGAGGUGAAAUGGUGUGGGAAAUCCUAAUCAAUAGAAAUAUACCAAACAGAAAAAACGCACCUGAGGUUGCUAGCAGUUGAUGGCGGAUACAAGUCUCAACACCCAACUCUAAAAGCAACAUGAGAAUGAGUGCUGAGGCCAAGUGGGCAGAAACAUGGAGAAUGCCAAUAGCUGCCCUUUUUUUUCGUGACAAUUUAUUAGGAACAAAUAAAUAUGCUGCAAUCAGCAAAAGGAAAGUCCCAGCUGAUGACACAGACGAGUAUUCCAGAAUGUACAAAAAUGCAUGCCACACUGUGAGAAAGAAACUAUUCAGAUGACCCGAAAUAGAAUCAUCCUUAAGAAUGUGGUCGAGCUUACACUGAAAAGUGCAUAAACAAUAUGUCAGGUCCACAAAAAUACCUUGGUACAUUAAAGGAUCCAAGUCUCAAGAGUACAAAACAACCUCCAGAGGAGUAUAGUAAACUUUGAAGUUUGAAUGAAAUUACCUGAGGGAACAUGGAGAAGGCCAAUAUAAAGUAAAUGAUACCACCAAUGAAGUCAAAUUGCCAGUUCUUCUUCCGAAACUUUAAAAUGUUUCCAAGUGCGAUCUGGACCAUGUUUUCAUUUAGUUAUGGCACUAUCCAGAACAUAACAAGGGCUAACAUAUCCAAAUUGGUCAACAUUAUGACAUCCAAAUGGGGUUCACUCAAUUGAAAGUUUUAACUUACCUUGCUCGAAUCUUCAAAAGAAGGAUAAGCAGCCUUGCUUUCAUAAGAAGUUCCAUACUGUGUUUUGAAGUUUCUAAAGACGUGAGUUGGAUGCAAGAAUGCACCGCCACAGCCAUUUACGAGUAAGUGUUGCACAUAAACUGGCUUAUCUGACUGGGUAGAAGAAUGGCGCAUAUAAUGGUGCAAGUCCCCAGCCAUCCGUAGCUUACACCUUCCCUUCAAAUAAUCACGUAUCAAAUGAGACACGUUCUUUCCAGAGACAUCAUUCCAGUACCAAUCAAGAAGCCAAGUUGGUUCGUGAGUCAUUAUAAUCACCGAGUCAUUCUCCCCAACCUGGAAAACAUUAAAACCAACUGCAUCAGAAUAAAUCCUGCCACAAUAUUAUAAUAGCUCAUAUAUACAAGAAUCUUAAUUCUUUCUCAGCAAAAAAGUAGUGGAAAGAGUGAUUUCCAAUACACAAAAAGGGCUACUUACAUCUAUAGCAACUCCUCAACUUUCUAACUGGCAGUUCACGAGUGCAUAAAUAAAGAACAAGUGGUACUAUCACCAAGUGAUGGAGACCAUUGACAAGCCAUUAAUUUCAUUUUAUUCCACUAAAAGAUAUAAAUUUCAUCAACAGAACAACAAGCGGAAUAUGAAGAUAUCAGAACAUCAAAAUUCUAUGUAGCUAUGUACAUAGAAUGCAAUCGCAGAAAAGAUGAAAAGUACAAUGAAAAGUACAGCCAAACUGGAUAACUCGAAGCUACAAUGUCUCAAACUUGUAAAAAAGUAACUACAGAUGGGACAUAUUUAUCACGAUGAAUACGAGUACAACUAGACAACUCAUCUGAUACUCAACAUAAGUUACUACUUAACCAACCACAAAGAAUGCAUCCAUUAACUCUCUUUGAAUGAAUGGUUAACUAUAUUUAACAAUGUUAGUGUGUUACGCAUACCAUUUUAUCUUCUUACUAUCAUAUGAAUAGUUUAAGACCAGCUAGAGAAUAUAUACACGUGAUAGUCAUGGAAAAGGUAGAAAAGCUCUCAGGUAGCUAUGUUGCAUCACUUCAUGCCAAUUUAAAAUUAGUUAAAAAAAAAACCUACAAUCUGCAUUGAGCCAUUGUUUAACAACACAAAGGGGAUGAUGCCAAAGCAAACGUGACAAAUAUACCUUAUCUUUUAUUAAUUCUGCGAAGAAUUUGAACUGAAACACGUCAAUGUCACAAUGGAGAGCUUGAUCAAGACCAAAUACCCACCAUCCUUUAGGAAGCUGCAAUGCAAAAUAACUCUUUUUCUGAGGAAGGAACCAACCACCCAACCAACUUUUAUGACAGAUAUACCGCAUGAAAGUGUGAAGUCCAUCAAACCAAUCUGUAGAAAAGGCAACUGUACACUCAGAGGAAUGAAACGAAGUGGAAACUAUAACUAAAAGAAAAACACAAGGAUAAUCAUUCAAUUAAGCAUCAAGAUAUUCUAUUAACUCAUUUUUACAGUUAACUGUGUUACUAGUGCUAGGUAGUUUAGUUGUGAGUAGUACCAACCAUGGUUUCCAGGAAUUACAAAACAUUGAGGUCCAUCAUAUCGCUUCAGCUCAGAAACUCCAGGAGGGACCUCUGGCUUGUCAACCGCUAUAUGUUCCGGUUUAUACCAAUGUGGAGGCUGGAGAGCGUAUUCAAAAGGGCAGAAAAGUCGCUUCUCAUAUGUAAAUGCUGAAGGAUUAGGAUACCUGAAAAUUAACAAUGUUGGCUAAUAGAUGACAUUGUAAACAUAUAAAAUACUGCUUAUAUAACUUUUGAAUGAUAAAGUGGUAUUAAAAUAAUCGAGGCAUAUUAAAUAUAAGCAGUGGACCAUAAUGCUCCAUUGAAAGCAAUGCCCCUUCAAACCAAUAUUAGAAAAUUAGAGGUGUACCCUGCAGGUUAUAUUGAAUGCAAACUUGUAGUUCUCAAUUAGUGAUGAUUCUCUUUUAACAGAUAUAAGAUCUUAUUCAGCAUUUGGCAUAAAGUCUCAGCCAAUAUUCAGUUGGACAUCACAUGGUUUCCUAUAGAAAAUCACAUCAGUUGGACAUCAGUUGGACAUCACUAUAGAAAAUCUCUCCAAGUUCUCCCUUUAUUUAAAUUUUUAGCUUCUAGAAAAUUUCUUCAUGUACUACUUCUGCAUGUACACGUUCAUCCAACCAAUUCUUCAACUUGUGUCAACCCAAAACAUAUAAAAAGCAAUUACUAUAAUUUAUAUAAGACAGUAAAUAUUGGUUUGGUACGUUGUUGAUGAGCAUAGUGAAGACAUAAAUGAAAGUAGAGGGGCGAACAUUAGAAAUUGAACAUCGUGGUUACACACAUAGCGUAUGUACAUGCUACAAUAAAAAGAGCAAUUAGCUUACGCAAGAUCCCCUCCUAUAAGAAGUACAUCUCCACGUGGUAGGAUCCGCUCAGAGUCACCACUAUUCAGCGAAAUAGAAGGUUGAGCAAGCAAGCGAGCCACCGUAUAAGACGAGUUUCCACCAUCUCCCGUAUCAGCCAUAAAGUCAAACCAAAGAUCAUCCUUUUCACUAAGAUGAUCAUACAAAAGAUCACCUCGAGUACCUUCUUGAUUCUUGCUCAUCGCCGCCUGAUCAAAGGAGGAAGAAUCAAAACAAGAAUUUGUUUCUCAGAUCAAAUGACAAAAAGGAAAAUAUGUUUCUUGGAUCACAUGACCACGAGGUUGCCAAACCUAUUCAAGUGGCAACCGGCAACCCUAAUAGUAAUCAUAAAUAUAAAGCAUAUGUUGGUUUUCAUUAACUGAAUAUAAAAAGUAAUACGUAGAAAUGAAUAUCCAAGCUUCUAAUCAUAAAUAUAUAAGAACUGGACAGCAGCUUGUUUGUGAAUGUUUUGAUUCUCAUGUUUCUAUAUCAAGAUAUGAAUGUAACAACUUGAUCGAUAAAAGUUGACUUUCAAGUAAUUGAAUCAAAUGUAACUAUAAACUUAAGAUAAAGAAUGUAAAUUUGAAUAUAACAUUGAGAUUUUUGAGUGAUACAUUUAAAAUUACAAUAACAAACUAGGGACUUCCCUCUUCAUGCUGUACAGAGAGAUUCUAUAAGAUAUAAAAUGGAUAAUAACUAAUUAUUGCUAAAGAAUAGCUAAAAACACUACAAAAUUCACCUGCAUCAUACGCAUGUCGAAACGCCCAACAAAUAAAGUUACAGAUACCAACAGGUCAAAUACAGUCUUGAAUAAAUCAGCAGAAGUUCUGCACUAACAACCCAGGCAUCAGAAAUGAUCUCAAACUUUUUCCUUAUACCAAACUCUAAAAGUCAACGCCAGUGAUUAAGUUAUAAAACAUACCCAGAAUACCAGGGAACCAUGUCCAAGAAAUCAGGUUUGAGUUGUUGUUUCUUCAACUUUUCAUGUUCCUCGAGUGAAAUUGGGUGAGUAAGAGCCCAGCUGUUCAUUUUCAAGAGCCAAUAUAGAGGAUAAAUACAUAUACUCGUCAACCUGAUUUUUAGGGGAAGAAAGGACGGCAUAGCAUAACACAUGCAUCACCGUGCAUCAGUCGUGUAAGUGUUGCAGAUGUAGAAGUGUUCAAAUUCAAGAAUCAAGAGUGUGCAACACCAAGAUUUUAAGCCAUUUUAUUCUUUAUCAGUAAAUGGUACUUCAUUGAUAAGGAAAGAAAUUACAAACCCAUCCCACAGUGAGGUACGGAUAUAGCAAGGCACUAAACGCCACACACACACACUAGGAAAAAAACAAGAGUACAAAUACAAAGGGAACUAUCCCAUACCAUAGAUAAACCCCUAUUCCUUAACAAGCCCACCUACAACACAUGAAAUCAUGAAAGCGGUUCCCCUAGAAAGUAAUAUUCACCCUUCACCAAUCAUAAAGGCAUUCCUUGAAUUCCAUGAGAAUAUUGUAGUCUUUCUUAGUCUCAUUAUCAAAGAUCCUCCAACUAAGCUCCUUCCAAAUGGCCCACACCAAGGCCUUUGGUAGGUUGUCUACCAACCAUGAAUGAUACAUUUGUAUGAAAUAACCUUAAAAGUACGAGAUUUGCAGACACGAUCGGAAGACAUAAGCAACACAGUGAGUUGAAAACCGUCGAGGGAAAAUUUGGCUAUAUUCUAGGGUGAGCACAAUCAACUUAGAGGCUAGCAACCUAAAAAGGGGUCAGCGUUGCACAAUUAGGUUCAACCAUGUAGUGUAGUAGGCAUGAUGUUGAGGUGGGCAAGUGAUAAACAUAAGAAAAGAUAUAAAUGGACAUCAGAAACAUAUAGGAAACAAAGUGGUGUGUAAAAGUCUGUUAGGUUCGUUGGUAACUGCCAAUUCGUUUAGAAAACGAUUUGAACUAAAGUAUCUCUAGCUCGAUUCAAACAUACAAUUUAAAAUGUAAACUGUACAACAUUUAUAACACUGUCAACAGGUAUAAAAUUGCUCAAAUAGACCAACUACACCUAGCUUCUUUGCCUGGACCGAACAGCUCAAAAAUGGUCUCAAGCUAUACAAGAAAUACUUGAAACCUUGAUGGUCCAAAGGAUAUUAAAAGAGAUGAUACAAAUAAAGAUGGCACAUGCAUCUAGAGGACUAGCGCUACUUGGCCACUUAAAAAAGCACAACACGAAAAAUGGGGCAAUACAUCUCCACUGAAACAUAAACAUGUAGACCAAAAUUCCUAAGCACCUCAUCAUUUCUACAUGACACAUUACAAAACUAUUGCUAUAAGAAAACUUACCCUGUUGAUCGCUCCACCACAUAAUUGGCCAUGUAAAGACCUAUAAAGGUGGCCCACAGUGAAUAUAUGGGAGAAAUACCAUCUGAUUGACCCUCACAUGAACCAUUGCACGCUAACUGGAAAGCGAAAACAAAUGAUUGAAACAAUAAGAAAAUGGAAAUUAAUGACCAUAAAAAAUACCCCAGAGAAAAUUUAAAUAUAGAACUCAUGAAGGCAGUGGAUACCUCCCCAUAGAUGACCCAUUUAGACAAAAGGGGAUAAUCACUAGCAGAACCAACUGGAGCAAACCAAGACGAGCAAACUUGAUCCUUCAACUCGUUUAUAUGAAUGAGUUUUGCUAGCCAUGUGUUUCUUUCUUCACUCUUCCAAAAUGAAGAAGAAAACCAACUGAUGGCUUUCUGUUCAAAAGGUUUUUCUCUCAUAAUAGCACGAUUACCACAAUGACUAUAAAAUACACAACACGCUAUGCUUAGAACCUACACAAAAACAAUGGCAUUGAAAAAGAAAUAUUUCAGUGUCCAAAUGGAAGUAAACCCUGAAAUCUACAUAUCACAAACAAUAUCACAAGUAUUAAAGGCUUACUGCACAGUUUUGCAUGAUAGUAAAGACUUCGGGCUUCUUUCCAGCUACACGAGCAACAACUCCAAUAUACCAAAGACCAUAAAAUAUAAUAUGAAAAAAGAGAAUGAAUAAGAUGGAAGAGAUAUAUAUGGUCAAGAAUAGAGAGAGAUUCAUCCUCAUAUCCAAUCCCAUAGACUGAAAACUAGGAAGAUGAUACAGAGCUGCCACCAAAAUCCAUGCAAUAUACCUAAGAAGUAGCACUAUAUUAGUUGACAUAAACCAAUGACUAAUUCUCAAGUUCAACUAAUCUAAAUAUUUCGAAAGAUCCUGAUUUAUAUCAUAUCAAUCAGAAAUGGAAAUGGGAUCAAGAGAAAAGUAGUUACCAUCGACUGAAGUUUGAGUAGCUCGGUUUGAUAGUCUUCCCAAUGAAUGGAGAUGAAAAGAAGUAAAAAAAACCAAGUAAACAGGCAUACAUUGACCACCAUUUAACAUUGUUGUCCAGCUUCUGUACAAGGGUAUGCAUGUUGUCUGAGGAGAUAAAAAAUAGACACCCCACGACUACUGCAAUUAUUGCAUGACGUGAAUGUUCAUGUGGGUAUGGAUAAUUGUGUGUCAAAAUGGUCCUCACACUCUCCAUUUUAAGGUUAUCCAGUAACCCUAUGGACUGCUUAUUCGAAGCCAUCAAAAUGCUUUCCGGAAACUCGCGUUGCUUUCCUCACUUCAAACACUGGCUGAUAAAUGCAUCUAAUAGGCACCACAUCCAGCAUGGAGACAAACUUCCAUGGGCUAUUUUUUGACCACUAAAAGAAUCUGUAAGAAACAAAUUUCGUCAUCAUUUUUAGGAUAUACAAGUAACAACAAAUUAUAACAAAAAAGGUCAACCUAGACAAAUAGUCAAAUCAUUUUGAUGGUUGAUACAGUACUCAACAGAUUUGAACCUUCUUGUUUCUUUCAACCCGGAAAAAUCACUGAAAAGUUUAAAUGAUGGCUAUAUGUAUUUUUAUUUUUUAAGGAUAUAAAUGAUGCCAUUAAAUUUGAAGGCACAAUGUGAAAAUAGCCACUCUUAAGAAUACAAAAUAUGGUAGUGCAGCAUUUCAGAUUUUCUUUCUUCAUUUUAUUAUCAUCUAGUCUACAGCAGCAUAUUAAGGCCGCUCUAUGGUCACACUAUUAUCCUUGACAACUAUUGAGGAAUUAAAGAGCAAAUCAGCCAACAAGGUUAUAAAGAUAACAUCAGGUUGGGUCAUUUGAAAAUAAUUUCUCCUUCAGCUUACAAGUAAUUGAAGCAAUCUAGCUUCCUUAGAAGCACCAAUAUAAACCAAGAAGCGAGCGAGGCGGAAGAUCAAAUGCAAAUGAAGGUUCUGAUACAAAACCAUUCAUGAUUGCAGGGCCUUAAAUGACCAAGAUGACUCAUCAAAGACAUUGCAGAUAGAUAAGUGUGACAGAGAGAUUCCAUAUUUCAAAUGAUGAAACUCGUACAGACUUUCGAUGCAACUUGCAACAGCACUAUCGUUCUUUACAAGGUUGCAACCGUUGACUAGUUGUCUAGUUCCACCAUCUUGGAUAACAAACUUUUAGUGUGAAUUGAAUGCCUCAGAUCUUGAUAAAAACGAAAACAAAGAACAUUACUUAUAGAAUCUAAAAUUCCAUGAUCAGCUUCAAGCCAGCGAGUUUUAGAUUGUAUUGCAAAUGUUGAAAAGGCUUAUGAAUUUUGAGUUUAAAGUAUUGGAAGAUCGCCAGAUAAUGCAUUUAGUUGCUUCAAAAAAUUUGGUUCGUGUCAUCGCAAGAUGGAAUGACAAGCAGAUUUGUAUCUGACAUUCUGACAAGGUCUGCAAUGCAUUACUACUUGGGCAAGAUUUUGAACUGCACAGGAAACUCAUAACUCUUCAUUCUUUGCUUGACUCUACAUGUGUUGCCAAACUAUUUCACAAUGAGAAAUAGGCAUCAACAAGUAACUAAGAAGAUCCAGAAGAUCCCAUAUAGGCAUCAACAACUACGACUACAACACAUACCCAUGAGAGCCCACAUCAUUACAUCAUCGCCAUUGUUACAAAGAUUCCCCUAAACUAUCCUACCCUUUUGCAGGACCCGCAGCCUACAAUGGCCUCUCUCCCAUAGGUUCAUUAAAGGUUUUUUCAUCAUUGUCUUCGUCCUCCAAGAUCAGACAGUGUAUAUUCCACUAUUAUCAGAGCUAGGGUCUUCAAUAGUGAUCUUUUUACAGUGCAAACA